AACUGGCAGGUGAGUUCCCAUCCUUGGGUUCACUCGAUGCUAACUUCUACUACCAUCUAAAGAGACUGAACAUGAUUCAACUGGCUGUACAUGGACUAAAUAACUGACAUCCAUUGACUGACGGAGUAGUACUAUUAUCUGAGAGUUAACUAAUAUCAUAAGAUUUUUAAUGUUUCCUGAGUCACAUGACUGACUGAGUUCUAUAGAGUAUAUCUUGACUAAGAUUUAUCGUUGCACAUGACAUGGCUCUGGGCACACAACUAUAUUUUUUGGGUACGAAUACCCUCAGGACUUGAUAGAAGGAAACUGACACAUAUGACAUGACUUGAUCACAAGAUUAGAGUCCACAAUUUAUAACAUUAUGAGUAGGGGAUAGUAUACUUCAUGUAUUUAUUCACAUCUCAACAUGGUAGGGAGAACAUGGAUACAUUUUAUGAAUAUAAUUCAUAUUUCCAUUAUCACACAUGCUUCAUACCACAACAACAACAACACAUAAAUAGCAUGGAAAUUUAUAUAGAAGAGUAUAGCUAACAUGGACUUGUCAUUUAGAUAUCAUGGAAUCAUGUAAUUAUGGGUUUCUAGCAUCCUAGGCAUUUUAUCAAACACCUUGCAUGCAUUCUUUAAAGCAAAGGUGGAUUUUAUACUUGCAUCACAUCAAACCACCUAAAGUUCAUGUUUUUCAACUAACAACCACAUAUAUUUCAUGAAAACAUCUUUAGAUAUCAUUUUGAAACUUAAAAAACAAUCAUCAACAUGUACAUGCUUAUAUCACCACAAAAAGUUUACAAAAUAACAUUUAAAAACAUGGUUCUUGAGCUCUAUGUACGGAUUGGAUCCAUAGAUGAACACUACGCAUACCUUAGAUUAAGAAUUCGUGGAAUCUAUGGUUGAAUUUGCUUGAAGUUUGAAACCCCAAUGGAAACCCUAGACUUGUUCUUGACUAUUCUUGAGUGAAUUUUGAUAAAAUUAAUGUAAAGGGAUUCUUUGGGGACUCAAUCCCGUGUUUAAAAAGUAUAUAUAGGGUUUUGGGAAGUUACCAUAUUACCCUUGACGAGUUUAAAAUGAAAACUAAAAACUACGCAAAAUUUAUCCCAAUUUAGGGCCCCGGGGCAAUGCGGAGCUUGGUAAAAUACCAAUUAUUGUGACCUAGAAGCUUGGCGCAAAGUGGUGCUAUUGCGGAGGCUUUCUGAAAAUUGACGAGUGCCAUUUUGCCUCUGGCGCAAUGAGCCAUGCACUGAAAUGGCAUUCGUCUUACAACAGAAACUUAAAAUAGCCAUAACUUCUUUACCGGGUGUCCGUUUUAGGAGAAUUUGGUAUCUACGGAAAUCUUAUAAAAUUAUCUAUCCGUUGGUAGGUCAUGGGAUCAAAAAUUUGUAGUAUAAUGAGAGAUAUUCUCAUUUGAAUUUGAUGAUACCAAUAUCCUUCUCAAGAAUUCAAUCGGUAAGGAAUAUGUUGAUUCACACAAUAGCUAGGACAUAUUUGAGACCUUAACUCACAUCAACCUUGAUCAUAAAACUACCAAGGAACCAUGAUGUAAUAUGCAUGAUCUUGAAACAUGGAGCUAAUAUUGAGUUGGAUUUUUCAGGGUAUUACAAUAUCUCCCCCUUAAGAACAAUCAUCCUCGAAUGAGACUUAACUGAGGGGGGAAAAUGAGACAAGCCGAACAUGAACUGAACAUGAAGGACUGAAACAUGAUCUCAGGAAUGACAUGCUAAACAUAAUUAACUCAUGCAUAUCUGACGCAUGGAUAACUAGUACAUGGAUGCAUAACUAAGCAAUCUGAUAAACUGAGCUUCUCAAGAUGAGAAUGCAUAUCGGAUGCAUGACCUUAUAAUUGAACUGAUACAUGAAUGCAUAACUAAGGAUGCAACGGUAAUAGAUACCAAUUUUAAACUGGGGACAUGAACAUGAAACUAAAUAAGCUUAAGGAGAACUGUUACCUUAAGCUUGAUCUGAAUUUGCGGGGAAGAGGUGAGGAUACUUGGUACGCAUAUCUGUUUCUAUUUCCUAAGUAGCUCCCUCAUGAGACUGCUUUUCCCAAAGAACCUUAACUAGAGGGACUUCUUUGCUCCUUAAUCGAGUCUGAUAGUCUAAUAUUUUGACUGGAAUCUCUUUAUAAGAGAGGUUGUUCUGAAUGUCAAUGCUCUGAACAGGGACUACAACUGUUGGGUCACCUAUGCACUUCUUGAGCAAAGAGACAUGGAAGACUGGAUAAACUGAGGCUAGAUCUAAAGGCAAUUCUAGCUCAUAAUCUACCUUGCCGAAGCGAUUGAAAAUCCUAAAGGGAACGACAUAUCAGGGACUGAGUUUCCCUUUCUUGCCGAACCUCUUCACUCUCUUUAUGGGAGAGACCUUAAGAUAGAUAUAUUCAUUGACCUUGAACUCGAGAUCCUUCCUACGAACAUCUGCAUAAGACUUAUUUCGGCUCUGAGCAUCCCAGAGUUUCUCUCUGAUCAACUGAACUUUCUCUAAGGCGUCGAAUACUAAGUCAGGACCUAUGACUGAGGCUUCACUAACUUUGAACCAACCGAUCGAAGAUCUACAUCUCCUACCAUAGAGAGCUUCAAAUGGAGCCAUCUGAAUACUGGAAUGAUAGCUAUUGUUGUAUGCAAACUCAAUCAAGGCCAAGUAGUCAUCCCAACUUCCCUUAAAAUCAAUGGCACACGCCCUUAACAUAUCUCUAAGAGUCUGAAUGGUCCUUUCUGCUUGACCAUAUGUAUGAGGAUGAAACAUUGUACUGAGAUGAACUUAGGUACCGAGACCCUUUUGGAAUGCUUUCAAGAAAUGAGAGGUGAACUGGGUACCUCUGUUUGAGAUGAUAGAUGAGGGAACACCGUGUAAUCUGACCAACUCCCUAAUGUAGAAUUUUUCAUAAUCCUUGCCUGAAUAGGAGAUAUAAACUGGAAGGAAAUGGGUUGACUUGGUCAUUCUAUAUACAAUGACCCAAACUGAAUCAUGCUGAUGAUGAGUUCUAGGUAAACCCAUCAUAAAGUCCAUGUUCACUUCUUCCCACUUCCAAGUAGGAAUGGUGAACUCUUGCAUAGAACCACUAGAUUUUUUAUGCUCUUUCUUAACCUGCUGAUAUGUAGAUCACUUAGCCACAAACUCUGAAACAUCACUCUUCAUCCCACUCCACUAAUAGAUCUCUCGCAAAUCACAGUACAUCUUAGUGGCCCCUGGAUGAAUAGAGUAUCACGCACCAUAAGCUUCUGCAAGAAUUCGUUGUCCCAAGUUAUCUACACCAGGAAUGCACAAACGACCCUGACAACGAAGAACACCAUCUCCCCCUUGGGAGAAAACCUAAAAUUUCUAAUUUUGAACUGACUCUUUCAGCUUGACAAAGCUAGGAUCCAUGUCUUGCUUUUCUUUCACCUCAGAAACUAGAGAUGACUUUGAACUACUCUAAACACAUACACCACCCUUUGAAGAGUCGACUAAGCGAAUGCCUAGUCUGGCAAGCUGAUGGAUUUCCUGAGUUAUCUUUUUUUUUCUAUCCUUAAUGUGAGAAAUACUGCCCAUGGAGAGUCUAUUGAGAGCAUCAGCCACAACGUUGGCCUUGCCCGGAUGAUAACGGACACUCAUGUCAUAGUCCUUCAAUAGCUCUGACCACCUUCUCUGAUGAAGAUUGAGAUCUUUUUGAGAAAAGACAUACUGGAGACUCUUAUGAUCUGUGAAGAUGUCUACAUGAACUCCAUAAAGAUAAUGCCUCCAAAUCUUCAAAUCAAAAACUACGGCUGCUAACUCAAGAUCAUUAGUAAGAUAAUUCUUCUCAUGGGGUUUUAACUAUCUGGAGGCAUAGGCUAUGACCUUACCAUGCUUCAUGAGGACACAACCUAAACCCACUCUGGAUACAUCACAAUAUACUACAAACCCAUCUGAACCAUCUGGAAGAGCUAUAACUGGAGCUAUAGUGAGUCGAGUCUUCAAUUCCUGUAAACUCUUCUCGCAUGAAUCUGACCACUGAAACUUGACUUUUUUCUGAGUUAAUUUAGACAUAGGAUACGUAAUAGAAGAAAAUUCCUCGACAAACCAUCUAUAAUAGCCAGCCAAACCCAAGAAAUUCCUGAUACUUUUUGGAGAUACGGGUCUGGGCAAGUUUCUUACCGCUUCAGUUUUCUGAGGAUCUACUCCAAUGCCCUCACCGAAAAUAAUAUGGCCAAGGAAUGCUAAUGAUCUUAGCCAAAACUCGUACUUACUAAACUUGGCGAAUAAAUAAUGAUUUCUAAGGGUCUGAAGAACAAUUUUGAGAUGGUCUGAAUGAUCACGCUCAGUGCGAGAAUAAACCAGAAUAUCAUCUAUAAAGACUAUGACGAACAUGUCCAAGUACUGCUUGAACACACAGUUCAUCAAGUCCAUGAAAGUUCCAGGGGCAUUGGUUUGACCAAAGGACAUGACUACAAAUUCAAAGCGGCCAUACCGAGUACAAAAAGCUAUCUUUGGGAUGUCACAUUCUCUAACUCUGAGCUGAUGAUAACCUGAUCUGAGGUCUAUCUUAGAGAAAUAACUGGCACCCUGAAGUUGGUCGAACAGAUCAUCUAUUCUGGGAAGUGGAUACCUAUUCUUGACCAUAACUUUGUUGACCAGAUGGUAAUCAAUACACACCCUGAGAGAACCGUUUUUAUUGCACACAAAUAAGACUGGCGUACCCCAUAGGGAUACACUAGCACUGAUGAAUCCCAUAUCUAAGAGAUCCUUCAACUGAUCUUUCAGUUCUUUAAAUUUUUUUGGUGCUAUUUUGUAUGGUGAGAUAGAGAUAGGCUGAGUAUCUGGGAGAAGAUCUAUGCCAAAGUCUAUUUCCCUUUCGGGAGAAAUGCCUGGAAGAUCUUCGGGAAAGACAUUUAAACAUUCACUAACCACUGGGACUGAUUCAAUACUGGGAGAUUUAGAAUUGAAAUCUUUAACAUGCACGAGAUGAUACACACACCCCUUAGAAAUCAUUUUCCUUGCCCGGAGGUAGGAAACAAGCUGACCCCUGAACGCUAAAACACUACCCUUCCACUCUAAGGUAGCGGGCUUAUUUGGGAACUGAAAUUGAACUAUCCGGGUCUUGCAUCCACUGUGGUAUAGCAGGAAUCAAGCCAAUCUACACUGAGAAUGACAUCAAAAUCAGUCAUCUCUAACUCGACUAAAUCUGCUGACGUAGAUUUCUGAAAUAUCAUAAUCAGGCAGUUCUUGAUACCCUCCGAGCUAUGAUGGUUUUGCCCACUGGGGUAGAGACUGAAAAGGGCUCUGCUAAAAUUUCGGGACUGAUUCUAAAAUCGCCUGCUAUGUAUGGAGUAACAAAAGAAAAGGUUGCACCUGGGUCUAGCAAAGCAUAAACAUGAACAUGGAAAAUUUGUGAUGUACCAGUAACGACAUCAGGAGAAUUUUUCUGAUCGUGUCGGUCUGAAGAGCAUAGAGUCUAUUUGGGCGUUGCCCACUAGUAGCACUGGAAGUGUCACCCUGCUGGUUCGGGCAACCGGACUGAGCUGCGGAAUAAAUUUGCUGGCCCUGAAGACCUGAUUAUGGACACUCUCUAAUCCUGUGGCCUAACUUGCCACAACUAAAAUAGACAUCACUACCGACUCUGCAAAUACCCUUGUGGUUCUUACCACAAGCCUGACAAAGGGGAUUUGUUCGGGUACUGCUAACACUACCCUGAGAUUUAGAGAUUGGCGCUUUGUCUCUACUGCCGUUUUUGAAUUUCAGCACUGGGGCACUAGCGGAGGAAGGAGCUGGAGCUGCUGACUUGGGAUGAAACUGUAAACGGUUCCCUCCCUUUGAUUUGGGCUGAGCAAAACUAAAACUGCCUAAUUUUUCUCUCUUAUUCUGCCUCUCUCUAGUCCUAACCUUCUUCUUCUCUAUCUGUUGAGCAUGGGUCAUGAUUCUAGUAAAGGUCAUAUCACUGUUUUGCAUUGUAGAUCUAUACUUAUUCACCACGCUAUCAUUCACCUCUGAUAUGAACUUGCUCAUCUUAGCCCUAUUGUCUGCAACCACAUGAGGGGCAUACCUGGUUAGCUGAGUAAAUCUGAGAGAAUACUCCCUAACCGUCAUAUUUCCCUGUCUGAAGUUGAUGAACUCAAGAACUUUGGCUUCCGUCAGAUCUUGGGGAAAGAAUCUAUCUAACAAAUAUGUGACAAAUUCCUCUCACCUAAUGGGACCUGGACCAUCUACCCUCUUGGACUUCAACUGUUUUUACCAAGUGUGAGCCAUAUCUUGUAACUGAUAUGCAGCUAACUCAGCACUCUAAAUAGAAGUAACACCCGUGAUGUCAAUGACUUUCUGAACGUGGUCAAUGAACUCUUGAGGGUCUUCAUCAGACUUAGACACUUGGAAUGAUAGAGGGUUCAUUCGAGUGAAGUCCCGAAUCCUAGCUACUACAGAAUUUGACACUUGAUUGGCCAGAAUAGCCGGUGGCCUUUCAUUUUGGGCAGCCACAGACUGAUCAAGUAUGGUGAAUACGGCUCUAAACUCCGGAUGAGAAACAUGUUCGCCCAAAGGAUCUUCGGGCUAAGGAGCUGGCUAAUUUCUUCUCUUUGGGGCCAUAUUCGCAACAAGAGAAGAAUGGAUUAGACUGGGAGUUUAACUUGAGAUUAUGCUCACUAGCAUGACAUAAAUACUGAAAGAAGGGAAACUAUUCCUAAAACAUAUUAUAGCCUCCUGUACAUAAAUAUGGCGCGUAACACACCAAUGCACAUGACUCUACUAGAUGUGGCUUUCAAAAUUCCUAGGGCUCUAUUGAACCUUAGGCUUUAAUACCAAGUUUGCAAUGCCCUGAUUUUCUAAAUUAGAAUGCUACACGGUGCUCAUGACCCUACUGAUAUUUGUACCUGUACACUGCAUAAUAUACAUAUAAUAUGUGGAAAACCUAAACAUGUAGGCCAUAAGGUUAAACUGAAGAGAUAUAGUAACAUCCAUGGGGUAAUGAAUACCUAAAAAAAUUGAAUAUAAAAUUGAAUACUAAAUCUGAUAGCUAAAUCUGAUUAAAUUUGAAAGCCUCUAAGUACUGUCUGAAUAAGGAGUUGAAGGAACAUGUCUCCAACUAACUCCAUAAAGCUGAACUAAAGUAAUAAAUGAAUAAAUCAAAUCUAUUAUCCUCAAAUAAAUGAGGACUCACUGCAACACUGCGACUGGAAAGUUACUGCUGGUCUGGAACUCGUGGCUCUAGACCUAUGGUAUAACAUAAAAAGAAAGAACCAUAGCACAAAUGCGUCAGUACAACUGGAGUACUAAGUAUACGAGUGAGGUAGGCUAAUGCAAAGGGUUUACAUGCAUGAAUAAUGCUAAUUGACUGACUGAUAUGAACGUAAGAGUACAAACAUACAUAUAUAGUAACUGAGAUCAUAAGUACGUGGUAGCUAAAUCUGUACGCUAAUACAUAAUUGGAACUAUAGUUCUGAUAACAUGAGCGACUGUGUCUGAUAGUCCUAAAUCUUGUAGAACUCUCUGAGUCCCGUGCUAUAACUGAAUUUGACUAUAUCUAAUAGUCCUGGUAUACUAAUAUAUGAAGAACUGUCUGAGUUAUUUUACUGAGACUGAUACUGAAACUGUGGGAGGUAUUUAUUUAACUAAAAUGCCCCAUGUAUACCAUUACGGAUAAGCUGGGGUCCAAUCUCCACCCCGACUGAAGUGGUGUCAAUACCGCGCCACUGGUAAUAAUAGUUGUAAGUGACCCUUAUAUGGUAGGUACUCAGAGUGAGAACGGUGGGACCCUAAACUGACAGGUUAAGCCACCUCAUCAACCCUAAUCUGACAGGUUAAGAUGUCUCAACCUACGCUGGCUACGUAGUUCUGGAAGACAAGGAUGACUGCUAAGAAUCACACCCUAAACUGGCAGGGGAGUUCCUAUCCUUGGGUUCACUUGGUGCUAACUUCUGCUCCCAUCUGAAGGGACUGAACAUGAUUUAACUGGAUGUACAUAGACUGAAUAACUAAUAUCCAUUGACUGAGGGAGUCGUACUAUUAUCUGAGAGUUAACUGAGAUCAUGAGAUUUCUGAUGUUUCCUAACUCACAUGACUGACUGAGUUCUAUAGAGUAUAGCUUGACUGGAUUUAUCAUGGCACAUGACAUGGCUCUCGGCACACAGCUAUAUUUUUCGGGUACGAAUACCCCCAGGACUUGAUAGAAGGAAACUGGCACACAUGACAUGACUUGAUCACAAGAUUAGAGUCCACAAUUUACAAUAUUAUAAGUAGGGGAUAGUAUACUUCAUAUAUUUAUUCACUUGUCAACAUGGUAGGGAGAGCAUAGAUAUGUUUCAUGUAUAUAAUUCAUAUUUCCAUUAUCACACAUGCUUCAUGCCACAACAAUAACAACACAUAAAUAGCAUGGAAAUUCAAAUGGAAGUGUAUAGCUAAUAUGGACUUGUCAUUUAGAUAUCAUGGAAUCAUGUAAUUAUGGGUUUCUAGCAUCCUAGGCAUUUUAUCAAACACCUUGCAUGCAUUAUUUAAAGCAUAGGUGGAUUUCAGGCUUGCUUCCUAUUAAACCACCUAAAUUUCAUGUUUUUCAACUAACAACCAUAUAUAUUUCUUGAAAACAUCUUUAGAUAUCAUUUUGAAACUUAAACAACAAUCAUCAACAUGUACAUGCUUAUAUCACCGUAAAAAGUUUACUAAAUAACAUUUAAAAACAUGGUUAUUGAUCUCUAAGAAUGGAUUGGAUCCAUAGAUGAACACUACGCAUACCUUAGAUUAAGAAUUCAUGGAAUCUACGGUUGAGUUUGCUUGAUGCUUGAAACCCCAAUGGAAACCCUAGACUUGUUCUUGACUGUUCUUGAGUGAAUUGUGAUAAAAUUAAUGUAAAGGUCUUAUUUGGGGCUUCAAUACCAUGUUUAAAGAGUAUAUAUAGGGUUUUGGGAAGUUACCACAUUUCCCUUGAGGAGUUUAAAACAAAAACUAAAAACUACGCAAAAUUUAUCCUGAUUUAGGGCCCCAGCGUGAUGCGGAACUUGGUAAAAUGCCAAUUAUUAUGACCUGGAAGCUUGGAGCGAAGUGGGGCUAUCGCGGAGGCUUUCUAGAAAUUGACGAGUUCCAUUUUGGCCUCCGGCGCGACGCGCCAUGCACCUAAAUGGCAUUCGUCUUGCAACAAAAACUUAAAAUAGCCAUAACUUCUUCACCGGGUGUCCGUUUUAGGCGAAUUUGGUAUCGACGGAAAUAUUAUCAAAUUAUCUAUCCAUUGGUAGGUCAUGGUAUCAAAAACUCAUUGUAUAAUGAUAGAUAUUCUCUUUUUAAGUUGAAAAUACCAAUAUCCUUCUUAAGAAUUCAAUCGGUAAGGAAUGUUUUGAUUCGCACAAUAGCUAGGACAUAUUUGAGACCUUAAUUCACAUCAACCUUGAUCAUGAAACUACCAAGUAACCAUGAUGUAUUAUGCAUGAUCUUGAAACAUGAAGCUAAUAUUGAAAUGGAUUUUUUGGGGUAUUACAACCACCAAAUCUCAAUAUAUGAUUUCAAAGUCCUAAAGGUUACUUAAUAUGGAGUAGUAAGGCUAACCGAAAUCCAUUAGAUUUCCCAAAUCAUUCCAAGGAUUAAGACUAAAUCUAGGUUGACAAGUUAAGAUCUUCUUAAGUCUACAAGGAGCUAAGCAUAUCUACUAACCUAAAAAAUCCACACUAAGUCAAGUACCAACACAAACCUAGGCUAAGGCUUUAUAAUUUUAUCCCAAGGUACUAAGUCAAAUCUAGCCCUUAGGUAUAAAUCUAAUCCAAUAUGAGGGAAGAUGGUCCACAAUCAACCCAAAUGGGCUCUCUAAUCAUCCAAAUAAUCAAUAAUUAGUAAAAUUAUCAACCAAUUAAUAAAUACCUACUCAAAUCUAGCAUAAUACUACACUGAUACCAUAAGCCUAGCCUACCUGGAUAAUUUUGAAAGUUUGAGAAAAUCCACUAGCUUUUUCCUAUCGAGAAGCCUCUAAAUGCUACCAUGCUAUCAAAAUAAUAAAUAUGUAUUAAGAUAAGGAUAGUGAUACCCAUAUUGCAUAUAUAUGCUCUGAGUAAAAAGUCAAACUAAAAAUCCCAUGUAGGUCCACUUGCAGAAUCACAAAACUAAAAUCAUCAACAUAUACCCAUAAGCUCAAGGAUCAUUUACCCUCAACAAAGGGUGAAUUCUAACAUAAUUAAGUCCCGAACAUCCUAUAAAGUAAACUAGGGGUUUAAAGUUAACUAGAGAAUUAAACUAGAAAUUAAUGGAAACUUACGAAAAUAAAGGUGAGAAAACGACCAUAAUGACAUCCCCAACUCACUCCUGACACCCAAUGAUAGAUCAUCAUAAUUUAUUAGCUCUCUAGGGCUUUAAUGAUAGUUGUACUUAAUAAAACAAUGAAAGAACAAUGAGUUCCACAGCUUUAAAUGCCGUUAGGGAUCUAUUUAUCGUGUUCGUUGGGACCCCAUCACGAAUGUGACCUCUAACCUGGAUAGCCUUUUGCAAAUGCGAUCAGUAUACCGCGAUCACAAAGAACAAAUCUUGACUAAUCAAAAGAUAACCCUUUUCAAAUAUAAUGACUAAUAACACUGACCUUCGUGAAUACAGCCAAUGCCUCAUAAAUUCAGAUGCCAUUUUUGGCUUGCACCAGCAAACUUGGCAAAGUGACAAGUUUUUGAUCGAAUCCUCAGGAUUUAUCUGAAAUACCAUAAACAUAAAUUAACUAUGCUAUAUAGCAAAUUUGACAUCCAAACUCAACGGCACCAUCAAUAUUUCUAUUUAAGGUUGUUUUGAUCAAAUGUGGGGCUCACACUCAAGGGAUGUUUUAGCUAAAGUUCACCCAAUAGGCCAAAAUAAGUUCAAAAGCCAUAGGACCCAAACCAAGGGUCACCUAGCCUAAAGUUGAUAUUAUAAAGCUAAUAGAACUGUUAGAAUUAGCAUCUAGGACUAUUUGUCAAAAGUUUAGAUCUAUUAUUUAUUUUAUAACAUUAAAAUCUCCAAAAUGGAGAAUUGGUUCUAAAAAUCAAAUGAACUGCCUGGUGGCCAAACGGCCAGUACCAACAAGUCAUAAAUAAUGUGAUGCAGCUGUGUUAAAUCUCUGAACAUUGAAAAGCACAAAAAUACAGGAAAUGACUAGGAGGAUCAUUAUAAUUAUACUUAACCAAAACUCUCCCUAAAAUUUGAAAAUUGUCUAUACCAAAACAUUGAGAAUAUCAAGAAAGGGGAUGCAACCCAAAAACACUAAUAAUGUAUCAUAGUACAGAAACAAAGGACUAGAAGAAUAAACUAAUGAAUCCAUGGAAGCCUAAAAAUUGCAGUUCACUCUAAGAUUUGAAUCACGCGCUAAAAAUCACAACUAAUGUCUCAAGUAAGUUGCUAAAAUAUGCUCCGCGCUCAACAAAAGUAAGAGCAAGUGUAGCAUCAGCUCAAAAGAAGACAAUAGUGUACUAGUAGGGUUAUUUGGCCAAUCCAAAAUAAAAUAUGUGAACAUUUAACAAUAAUGUAGUUCAACAAGUUAACAGAUGGUCAUAACUACAUAACCUUAUUUAUUUAAGUACACUCGGCAUAGAAAAUAAAAUUCAGCACAAAUAAUAAAAAGUCAAUAAGACAACUAGUCAAGAGGGUCAAAAAAUAAUCACUUUAGUCAAUUAAGUCAAAUAAACAAAAUCAAGUCAACAUUUAUAUAUAAUUAACAACUCACUCAUGGAACCAUCAAACUCACCUCUACCUUAUACACAGACCAAAAACCUUAUGGUUGCCCCCUUAGUUAUGACCUACAGGAGAUGAAUUAUGUCCAUGUACCAUAUCCCAAACAAAAGUGCCUGUGUAUCAUAUUUUACCAAAUCUCGUAGAGAUGUACCAUUACUAUUACACUCCACAUUAAUUAAUGUAAUAUCAUAACAAACACAGAAUAAUGAUAUCAAUCAAUACUUGUAGUAACCUCAAGAUUUAGAUAAAGAUUCAUCAAAAUGUGAUCAAACUUAUAUAAUCCAAUAAGUCUUUUUACCCUUUUUUAUUCCUCAACACAUGCAUCAAAUAACAAUACUAAGAAAUAGUUAAUAUUUAGACAUAACUCAAAUUAGAUUAAACUACGUAGCCAUCUCAUACCUAAAUCAAAUCUUGAUCCUUACAGUGAUGACCCUCUAUAUUAUUUUCUAUAUUUUUGCAUUCUUUUGGUGUUUUAGAACUUUCUCAUAGGUGGACCAAGUCAUUUACGACUUUGUAAAGCUGAAAGUUCCACUAUCGGAUAGUUUAUUUGAUUUUCAAAGUUAAUUCUCUGUUUUGACCUUUUUACUAUUAUAAAUUAGGUAUCGAGCCUAAACUAUAAGUAAACAGCCCUGUAUGUUAAUUCUAACAGUUUUAUUAGAUCCAAAAACAUAAAUUUUAGGCUGGAAAGACCCUUGAUUUGGGUUCCAAGGCUUUCAGACUUAUUUUGGGCUAUUGGAUGGAUGUUUGUUAAAAGUUCCCUUGGGUGUGGGACCUACAUUAAUUAAAACAACCUCUGAUAGAAAUUUCAGUGGCAGCAUUGAGUUUAAAAUUUCAAAUUUUAUAGUGUAUUACAUUUUUUUUGCAUUUAUGGAACUCCAAACAAGCCUUAAGCUUGAUUAAACAUUACAAAUUUGUCAAGUUUCUGGUGUAGGACAAAAAUGGCAUUCUUGCUUGUGAUGUUUCAGUUGAUUUUGUGAAGGUCAAGGUUAUUGAUCAUCAUAUUCAGAAGGACUUGAGUCGUUAUCACCAAUAUCAUAAAGACUGGUCAUUACAUUAGUGAGCAUACCUUUGCUUUCGCGAUGAGUAAGUUGGGUCAGGCAUCGCAUUUGUAACAGGGUUCUUACAAUCGCGAUGAAGACCCUUGCCAGUAUUUAUUAUUGUGAAAACCAAUUUCUCUCUAUUUUUCUUAUGUUCCAAAUCGACUAAAUACCCUAGUUAUCUAAGAAAGUAUGGAUAUCGAUCCUUAGGCAUUUGGAGUGAUUUAGGAACAUCAUUUUGGUCAUUUUCUCAUUGAUAUUUCUGUAAGUUUCCAAUAAAUUCUUGAUUAAUUUUUUAAUUUAAAAAAAAUUCUAAUUUGUUUUAUGAGCUUAUUUAGGGCCCUAUUUGUGCUCUAAUUUUAUCCAUUUUUUAAGCUAAAUGAUUCUUGAGCUUUGAGGGAAUUCUAAUGGUUUCAAAGUCGUGAUUUUGUGAGUGAGCCCCUCAUAGGACUUUCAGCUCAAUCUUUGAUCUAGAGAAUUUAUAUGCAUUAAGGUUUUGUUAUUCUCAUUUUAACAUAUAGAUAACUAUUUUGAUAGCAUAGAUCAUGCGGAGGCUUCUCAAAAGCAAAAAUCCCUGAUUUAUUGGACUUAUAGAGCUUUCUAUGGAGUUCAGGUAGGCUAGGCUUACUUCUUUAUUAUAUUGAGCUUUAUUGUGAUAUUGGUAUGGUAUUAUGCUAAUAAUGGAUUGGGUUUUACAACUUGGUCGUAUGUUUAGUGACUUUUGAAUUAUGUUGUUGCUUUAAUAAUUGUUAUAGGUAGAGUUCAGGCUCAUUCAUCCUACUUGGUGUAAGGUGGUUACUUGAAGCCUAGUUGUCACUUAUUAAAUAUUUAGUAGUGGAACAUUGGAUACUUAGAUUUAUUUUGGGUAUAAACUUGUCUUAGUAUGAAUUUUCAGGAUUAGUAGUAGGCCAUGUUGUUUUUUUUCUUGGUCAAUAUCUAGACCCUCUUAGACAUGAAAGGACUUCUUUCAUCACCCUAGAAUAAUUCUUGACCCUUAGGAUGAUUUAGAUGCAUUUUCAACCUUGGACUAAACUUGUGACCUUGUAUUUAUUUACUAGUUCCAAUUCAAGUUCGACAAUUGGGAUUCAUAUACUAUACUUGGAUUUGAUAGUAUGAUACACUAGUUCUAAUCUGAUUCUGACAUAUAUGAUCUAUUUAUAACAUUAUUAUGAUCAUAUCACUCUUCAAUUCUUGUUCAAGUCCAGCUUUAUAGUUUGAAGGAAUCUCAGGUAUGGUCUCACAGUUAUUUACUAAAAGUUAUGAUGGUUGAUAUUCUCUUCCUUGUUAGGAUCCAUAGGGCUAAAGGGGGCUCGGCUAAGUUUUUCCCUUGUUGUAUACACCUUCUAGGCAUAUGGUGGUCUAGUUAGGUUAUAAUUAGACUGUAUUUAGUUUAAUUUAUUCAUUAUACAAAAUUAUCGCUCAUUCUCAAAUUCAAGUAGUAUUCGUGAUAUUAUCUUUAUCCAUGACUUGACAUUACUUUCUCGUGUUUUAUUAUGAUUUAGCUCAGUCGAUCGAUGAUGCCUACUAAGUUCCCAUUGUUUUGGUACUUUUGCUACACUUCUGUAUCUUGUUUGGAUGUAGAUCCGAGUAUGAGUCACUGCCAUUGAUGUUCUAUCUAGCUUAAUUUUGGGACUAGGAGAUAGGAUGAGCUUUUAGAGCCAGAGCUAAUUCUCUCCUUCUACUAUUUUUGGAUAGAUUUUACUUUUGAGAUAACUGUAUAUUUUCAACUAUGUAGAACUCUAAUUUUUGGAUUUAGUGGACCUUGUACCAACCUUACUAGGUCAUGGCCGUAUUCUUUUGUUUUCUAUCUCUCUCUCUUGUUGAUAUUUUCACUAUUGUACCUAUUUUUUAUUGCUUACUCUAUUAAAUGAUUAUUUUUGGUAUCUCUUAUACCUUCCACCAACUUAACCCAUUACUUUUCAUUUCAACACACACACACACACAUAUGUGUGUGUAUGUAUAUAUAUGUAUGUAUGUGUAUAUAUAUAUGUAUGUAAGUAUCGCGACCAACAAAAGUCUGAAAUAAUACAUAAACCGCUGAAAACCUAGUGUUAUAAUGUAAUAGGAAUCAAGUACAUAUCAAAAACUGAAAGUACAAAAACUAUCUCUGAACCAAAUAAAGACAUAAGUAAGAUAGAGUGAGAUUCAUCCAUGAACACUAGGAUGGUCUGGUACCUCAGAUAUCACAAAUCAACAUCAAGAUCUCAACCUCUGUUUAUUGUACUCUGAUAACGCUCAACUUACACGUCAAUUUAGUGUAAGCCGAUCAUCGGCAAUAUAAUUACCCAACUUUGGAGUCGGGGUCGAAUCCACGAGGAACAAUGUGAGUGACAAUUAAACUAAUUUGAAACUAUAGCUACAAGUUAACUUCAAAAAAAUUAUACGAAAAGAUAAAAUGGGAUUUUUUGUAAUGGUUGAUAAAAGUUUCAACUUGCUUCAAAACUCAAAGCUAAAAUUUUAAUGGUUCAAAAUCAAUGAUAGAGAGAAACUAGGGUUAUGAUCACUAUGAUUAUCAACCCCUCAUUGAAUAAUAGUUGUAGUACUGGAUUCUCAUGACUUAUGGGAAACACCAAAUUAUCUGUAUCAACAUUCUAUCUAAGUGUUUCUCAACCUACCUAGAUGUUGUGCUCCCUAACUCUCUCGAACUUAGAAAAACCUUUUAUUCACAUUGAUUUUAUCUUGAGUUUAUUAAUCUUGUUACAACAUUAAUCAUUAGAUGGAAAAUUAACCUUCCCAAAUCCUCGUUGAUAAUUCACUACCUUUAGUUUAUUUCUCAGUUCGAGCAAGCAAACAUAAGGCUAGAUCUAUUGUUUGCAACCUAUAGAAAACAAUCAUUAAUAAGGAAUUAUCAAGAUGUUCCCACAAUCACGCAAACCCCAACCAACUAUUAAAUCCAUGGAGGAAUAAUCAUAGAUCCCACAACCCUAGUUAUGGGUUUUAGUUCCACAUGAGAAAAAAAGAGAUAGGAACAAUUGUAUUCAUCAUUCAGAGCAAUUAAAGUCUGAGGUUGAUGCUCUUCCAAUCUCAAGAAGAAUAUCCCACAACUCAAUCAAAGAAUUGAAAAUUGAAUUCAAAGUUAAGAGAUCCAAAAAAGAAGUAAACUAGCCUUUGGAAUAAGUUUCAAAUGUUAAGCCAUUUUCAAUGAAACCCUAAAAGUUGUUGUUGAUAUCCGUAACUUAAGAAAAAAUUAAAAUUACAAGUUCAGAUUUUUCUCCUUAGCUGACGACAUGUCUGACGGUUUAUCAGAGAUCUGAUAGCUUUUCAGACCAUGUCGUCAGACAUGAUUCCCAUUUCUUGCCUUCUUCUUAUGUGUGACGACAUACCUGACAGCUUAUCAGAGUUCUGAUAGCUUCACAUAACAUGUCGUCAGGUAUGCUUCAAACUUUUGCCUUUUGCUUCUGAGUGACGACAUGCCUGUCGGCUUAUCAUAGAUCUAAUAGCUUAUCAGGACAUGUCAUCAGAAAAUCUUCAGCUUCUGAGUGAUGGCAUUCUUGACGGCUUAUCAAAGAUAUAACGGCGUAUCAGGGGAUAUUGUCACACUUCUGCUCUAACUUCCUCACACUGUCUACAUCUGAUGAUGACUCUGACAACUUAUCACAAAUUUGAUGACUUAUCAGAAAAGUCAUUAACUACACUUUCAUGGCCACUUGUUCCAAAUUCACCUCUUUUGCUCUUAUUGUCUUUGAUUUUCUUGGAUCUUGACUUUUCUGUAUUAUCAAAGAGAAAGCAAUAAAAAAUGACAAAAGUUGUUUAUGACUUUAUAAUUAUUUCUAGUUCAAAGCCUCAAAUGUGUUAGCAUUAGCUCACACAUCAACACCCUCAACUUAAAACAAUUCCUUGUCCUCAAGCAACUUAAACAUAACUAAGAGGAUACAAAGCACAUUCGGCAGUCAAUCAUCCAUUUUAGCUCAAAACACAUUACACUCUCCAAGUUCAAUCACUCUAAACCCAACUGUGUAUAACAAUGAAGAUCAACAACGCGAUACAAGGAAAUCAAGAUAUGGCAUCAAAUUGGCAACAAUAACCAUGCCUAUAUACAAAUUACACUUUCCAAACAAGUAGGCAACUAGCAAUGCAACCGAUGUGCCUUUACAAUAAAGAAGUCCCUCCUCACUCAUAUGUGAACUCAAGCAUGUCAAUGCGGGGAUGGUCAAGAGACACUCACUCUCAAAAAGAAGUUCCAGUCAAUGUAUGACAAAUACCAUAAGCUUGCUCUUAUUUUCAUUAUCGAAGCUUUCAGACUGUUAAGUUAGGAUCACUAUAGGACUUUUCUUCAGCUUGUAAUGUAGGCUUGGGGCUGGUAUGAUACACAAGGAUAUUUAAAGUAAAUAAGCCUCCUUGGUACUACACUAUUUUUGGGGUUUCACUUAUCAACCUUUACCUUAUUUCUCCCUUUCUUGAUUAAAGCACAUUCAAGCUGGGUGUAGUUUUUAUUCAUUUAUUUUCUCUUUUGCACAACUUUUCUUUUCUCAUUCUUUUUCUACAAUACCCAGCCUUGCAUAUUUUUUUAACCCUUCUUCAUACUCACUUUACAUCACGCACCCCUAUAAUAGCCACUCUCAACUUAGGUUAUUUGCCUACGUCAAAGUGCACAAUUUCCAAGAAGGACCAGGUCCAAAACAGGUUCAUUGUGAUACAAAUGGGAAGGUGAUAGGUAUAAUAAAAAGAAUAGGCAUUCAGGCUCAAAAUCAGGAUCAAGGGAUAUUAUUCAUACAUAGAACGUCAUUUAGGCUAAAAGUGAACUAAUAUCUACAACGACCUAUGAUCCUUUCCUAACUGCUAUCCUAUAACCAAGGCAAGACCAACCGGGCAAGUGCUAGAUUUACCACACAACGGGAACAAAGUAGUAUCUCACACACACAUGGCAUAAAGGUACAUCACAAGCUACUACCCAUUCGGUUCAUGAAAUUAUUUGCAGUGAUUAUCAUGUACCUAGUACUAAUGCCAUAAAAAUAUUCACAGUAGUCACAUAUAGAUACACAUCAUAUAGUUACCAGACAGAUAAUUAGAGAGGUAUUUAUCAUUCAAAGAUAAAUCAACAAAAAUAUGUCAACUAUCCUAGAUACUUAUUUUUCCCCCAGUUAACCACAACACAUCACAAAAUAAACACAAUACGCCUAAAUAUGUCGGAUAUACUAGGAACAAGACUCUGAAGAAAAAAUGCACGGUAACAAAAACCAAAGGAGGACAUCAACACCCACAAGUAGCUCCACCCUCAACUUAAAAUCAUGCAACAUCCCUAAUGCAUCAAACCAAAACAAGAAAUUUAGGAACAUACCUGUGGCACCAUGGGUGUGAAGAUCUGAUGUCAAUCACAUAAUACGAAUACAAACAACAAAAUACCUUGGGUUUCCUCCCAAAAAGUGUCUAAUUUAGUGUUGCGGCAUGACCCAACUUAGCUUUUUCCUCCACCUUGAAAAUAUAAAUUUUACCCGCAACUUAGAGUCCAUCUUCUUGCCUCGCUCAAAGGGGGGUGGAACAAAAAUUAAGAAGUCGAGUAAUGGAUUGAGCGUGGUAAAAUACCUAGCCAUAAAGUGAGGUGUGAUUUUAUGUUGCUUGUCUAAUAUAAAAUCAAGAAUAUAGGAUUCUUGUUCCUCAUCUUCACACUCCUAGUAUUUUAAAUGAUUCCAUAGACAAGAUAUCAUCUAAGCAUAAUGUAGAAAAAUGCUUUAAAUGACGCCCAAUCAAUCCUACUUCAAAAUUUACAUUAUCUACUACACACUCACUUUUAUUCACCUUCUCGACAUCUUCACUUUGAAUUGGGCUAGAGUCUUUAAUAGAGAUUUUCUUGGUUUCUUCUUUUGCCUCUAGCACCAUGUCCUCAAUCUUGGCAUCAUCUCUCAUGGUUGGUUCGGUUGUUUGAAAAAUCACUGAGGGUUGCUCAACAUCAAGCUCAACAUAAAUAUAGCGUUCUUGCUCCUCAUUUUCACAUAUUUCUAUUAUUUUAAAUGAUUCCACAGAUAAGAUAUCAUCUAAACAUAAUAUAGAAGAAUGCUUUAAAUGAUUGACCUAUAUAUCCAUCUCCUUAUGAAUGAUUGGCUUCAUGUCUUGGCGCAUAUCACAUACGAUAUCAUACAUUUCUUUCUAGAGAUCCAAUAUUAGUUGAAACAUAACUUCAAUGCCACUCUUUCUGGUGCUCCGUUCUUUCUUUUCUUGACCAUAAAACCUAUCAAACUCAUAAGAAGAACUAGAAUUUGGGUUAGCACAAUAGGGGGAGAAGGCAUUUGGUCAAUCACUCUAAUGUCCAUCUUGAUCACCACAUAAAGAACAAUCAUACUCUCGAUAGGAUGGAGAUGGUGCACACAUCUCUCUUUGAGGAGUGUAUCUACAAUCUUUCCAAAAGUGAGGUCCAUCACAAUAUGGACAUAGAUCAUCAAGAUAAGAUUUCUAACCACCAAUUUCAUGUUCAUUCCACGAUGCCAUAGUAAUAAGCAAACUAAAAUAAAAAUCUACCUAACACAAAAAAUAAAAGAAAAUUAAAAUCAAAUAUUUACAAGUUAGAAUUCAAGCAAGUAGGUUAAAAUUACAAACCAACUCAAUACAUCAAAUUGUUCCCCGGCAACGGCGCCAUUUUUGAUAACGCUCAACUUACAUGUCAAUUUAGUGCAUAGCGGUCGUGGUCAAAAUAAUUACCCAACUUUGGAGUCGGUGUCGAAUCCACGAGGAACAAUGUGAGUGGCGAUUAAACUAAUUUGAAAAUAUAGCUACAAGUUAACUUCAAACAAAUGAUACAAAAAGAUAAAAUGGGGGUUUUUUAAUGGUUGAUAAAAGUUUUAACUUGCUUCAGAACUCAAAGCUAAAACUUUAAUAAUUCAAGUCAAUGAUAGAGACAAACUAGGGUUAUAUGAUCACUAUGAUUACUAACCCCUCAUUGAAUAAUAGUUGUAGUACUGGAUUCUCAUUACUUGUGUGAAACACCAAAUUAUCAUAAUUGACAGUCUAUCUAAGUGUUUCUCAACCUACCUAUAUGUUGUGCUCCCUAACUCUCUCGAACUUAAGAAAACCUUCUAUUCACACUAAUUUUAUCUCGAGUUUAUUAAUCUUGUUACAACAUUAAUCAUUAGAUGGAAAAUUAACCUUUCCAAAUCCUCGUUGAUAAUUCACUACCUUUAGAUUAUUUCUCAGUUCGAGCAAACAAACAUAAGGAUAGAUCUAUUGUUUGCAACCAAUAGAAAACAAUCAUUACAAAGUAAUUAUCAAGAUGUUCCCACAAUCACUCAAACCCUAACCAACUAUUAAAUCCAUGGAGGAAUAAUCAUAGAUCCUAUAAGCCUAGUUAUGGGUUUUAGUUCAACAUGAGAAAGAAAGAGAUAACAACAAUUGUAUUCAUCAUUCAGAGAAACUGAACUUACAAAAGAUGAAGUCUGAGGUUGAUGCUCUUCCAAUCUCAAGAAGAAUAUCCAACUCAAUCAAAGAAUUGAAAAUUGAAUUAAAAGUUAAGAGACCCAGAAAAGAAGUAAACUAGCCUUUGGAAUAAGUUUCAGAUGUUAAUCCCUUUUCAAUGAAACCCUAAAAGCUACUGUUUAUAUCCAUAACUUAAGAAAAAUUCAAAAUUACAAGUUUGAAUUUUUAUCCUUAUCUAACGACAUGUCUGGAGUCUUAUCAGAGAUCUGAUAGCUUAUCAAACCAUGUCGUCAGACAUGAUUUCCAUUUCUUGCCUUCUGCUUAUGCGUGACAACAUACCUAAUGGCUUAUCAGAGUUUUGAUAGCUUCUCAGAAUAUGUCUUCAGGCAUGCUUCAAAUUUUUGCCUUCUACUUCUGAGUGAUGACAUGCCUGACGGCUUAUCAGAGAUCUAAUAGCUUAUCAGGACAUGUCGUUAAAAAAUCUUCUUCUUCUGAGUGACGGCUUUCUUGUUAUAGCUUAUCAGAGAUCUGACGGCUUAUCAGGGGAUGUCGUCAUACUUCUAUUCCAACUUCCUCACACUGUCUACAGCGGAUGAUGACUCUGAUAACUUAUCAUAACUUUAAUGACUUAUCAGACAAAUCAUCAACUACACUUUCAUGGCCACUUGUUCCAAAUUCACCUCUUUUGCUUUAGUUGUGUGUAGUUUUCUUGCAUCUUGACUUUCCUGCAUUAUCAAAGAGAAAGCAAUCAAAAAUGACACAGGUUGCUUAAGACUUUACAAUUAUUUCUCGUUAAAAGCCUAAAAUAUGUCAGCAUUAGCUCACGCAUCAUACUCUUGCUAGGAUCUUUACCAAAAAAGGCACAGUAGGAGUGAGUAUGGUUCAAUUGUACUUAGUAGGUAUCAUAGGCCAAUAGACCAAACUAGGAAAUAAAAUAAGUAAAAUAUACUAUAAGCACGUCACCUGUAAACAGAAGUCCCAAACCAUAGUUCACAUCAUCUCCACUAAUAGUUCUAACAUAUAUAAGUAUACAAAAGCAGUAACAACACUGAUAUAAGGAAGAAAAUACAUGGAAAUCACACAUAAAUCAAGAAAACUAAGGGAAAAAAGCAAGAUAUGUAUACAUUGCAAUGCAAUGCAAUAUGGAUGAAAUGAAUGGUGAAAUUUAUUGCAUGACUUUCCAUAUACACCCAUCGAGCUGGUAGCUACAAGACGGGACUCAUUGGGGGUUUGAAAUACAUAUAUUAUAUCCCAUAUCUCAAUCUCAAUCUCAGUUUUAACUCUCCUCUUUGGCUUGUGUUCAUGGAAAGGACUUUAAUAAAAGUGUUUCAUUUUCUUUCAAAAAUAGUGUAUCUCAGUGGUAUCAAUAUCUCAUGAAUGAACAUAUAUAAAAUAAGGAUGUAAUGCUUAAAAUCAGGCCAAAAUGAGGAUAUCCAAUCAACAUGUAAGUAUAUAUAAGUGAGCCAAGAAAUAAACUUAAUAUUUCCAUAAUUCAUGAUUUAUCAACUCCAAAUAACUACCAUCAUAAUAAAUAUACAUUCACGAUAUCAUUAUUAUCAUAUCAACCCCUAACCCAGGUAUUUUAUCAUGAUAAAAGCAAUUAAUACUUAAUUAAGGCCUAUAUUAUCAAAUUAAGCCCCCAAACAUGGAUUAUAUAUAGAUGAAGGCAUAAAGAUGCAUAGUUAACGUCAAUGAUGUCAAGUAAGGCACCCACAUAAGUAACACACAAUAUAGAUACUGUAAGUCAACAAUAACAGAAUGUAAUCUACCACACGGGCACACAAAAGUAAAAUAAUCAUGAAGUAAAAAAAACUAGUUACUUCACCAACCCAUAGCAUGUUUUACUUAUAUAUUAUAUAUCUAACUAAAUCUGAAAGGAGUUAAGUCAUAAACUACCUCAAAAUGGUGAAUCUCGGUAUAAAGUGCCUCAACAUGGAACUUUCUCCUUGAGAAUAGCCUCGAAAUCAACUACAACAUUCAAAUAUAGAAUCUACGCAUUAAAAUAAUGCUAACAAUAGUCAUAUUACCCAUAUUCGGGUCGGGGUCAAAACUAGUUUUAAAAUGAAUUUGAAAAUUAAAGGGGUAUAACCAGAAUUUUAUUUCAGAAACACAUUCCCCAAGGUUAUAGGAGUCUAUAAGAGAAAACCUAUGCAAAAAUCGAUUAAAUCAAGGUCCAAAACAAAUAAAAACUAUUUUUAAACUUUAUCAAUAAGAACCUAAAUUUUCCUCUUUAAAAUCAUGAUUUAAAGGUGUUUUGAAGAUAAAUCAAGGAAAAAUAGUGGGUUAUGAGUUUAGAAGUUUCUCACAUAAAAAUCAAUAUUGAAACCCUACAAAAUUAUCUUUUCCAAAUCUUGGAGAUCCAAAAAUGGAGGAUAAUCGAGAAAAGAGGGUUAUAUACAGCGGUUAGCGACUAAGUGGAUGCUUAAGCAUCUACACUAAAGUAGUACCAAGACACUAAAGCGAUUACUACUUAAGUGAUGUCUGGCUACUAAAGAGACUACCUCUUAUGUGGUCUUGGGCCGCUCAAGCGAACCUUGCGCGCUUAAGCGGGUACACCAGAUACCAGUUGAUGUUUAUUUUAGUGCAAUCAUACCAAGAUUUGAUCGGACUCUCAAAAAUUUAAUCGAGAUCCCACUGAGACAAACCAUAUAUGCUACUUGGCUAUUUUAUUAUUCUAAACUCAAUGACGAUAUCAGAUUUGUUAAAAAAAGAUUAUUUUCACAAAAUUAACCCUUGGAACCUUAUUUCACUAUUUUUCAAACAAAGAAUUGAAAUGAGAUAUAAAGGUCCCAAAAUUGAUCCAACCCCGCUAUCAACUCAAAUCGACAUUCCAUAUCUACCGGUGUAGUCCAUUUUGCCAUCCAACGCUCAAAAUAACAAGUGUUGACCAAAGUCAACUAUAUGGCUUUUCAAGUUUCCAAAAACCACAAACUCACACAACUCAUUUCCAAUUGCCUCGAGAACCAUGCCAACCAUCAACGAACCAUAAUAUCAAUAAGUAGAAACUAUGAGGAAGGACUAAAUGGUCACAAAACAUAAAAAUAGAAAAUUCACAAACCAAGGUCACUACAUAUGUGAUACUUAGAUAUGAUGGUAUGAUACUCUAGUUUCAGUUCAGGUACGGUAUGUAUGAUAUAGUUAUAACAUUAUUAUGAUGAUAUCGCUCUUCAGUUCCAGUUCAAGUCUAGAAUUAUGAUUUGAAGGGAAUCUCAGGUAUUGUCUUACUAUUUCUUAAUUGAAGUUAUGUUGUCGGUACUCUCUUUCUUGAUUAAAUCCACUGGGCUUAUGGGGGCUCAACUGGGUUUUCCUUGUGUUUGCACCUUCUACCUUAUGAGGAUCUAGUUAGUUUAUAGUUAGAUUGUAUUUAGUAUGAUUUAUUCAUUAUGCAUAAUUAUCACUCAUUCUCAAAUAUGGAGUAGUAUUCUAGAUAUCAUCUUUAUCCAUGACUCUACAUUACUUUUUUGCAUUUUACUAUUCUUUUAUUAUGAUUUACCUCAGUUAGUUGAUGAUACCUACUGAGUACCCAUUAUUUUAGAUCUCAUGCUAUACUUCUGCAUCUUUCUAUGAUGCAGAUCAGAGUAUGAGUCACCGCCACUAAUGUACUAUCCAACCUGACAUAGGGUGAACUCGAUUAAUCCUCUCUCAUACUAAUUUUGUACAGUCUUUACUUUCUAUAAUACGUAUAUAUUUUAUACUAUUUAUUACUAUUAUUAUUAAAUUUAAUGGAUCUUAUACUGACCUUACUAGGUCAUGGGAUAUUCUUUUGAUCUUUCUCAGUCUCCCUCGUUGAUAUUUGUAUUCUUGUACCUAUAUUUCUAUUGCUUACAAUUCUGUUGAAUGCUUAUUUUUUGGAUUUCUUAUACCUUCUACCCAUUUAUCCUAUUACUUCGCAUUCCAGGCUAUGGUUUGGCCUACCUACUAGUAGACUAAAGUAGGUGUAGUCAUGGUUCUCGAAAUUGGGUCAUAACACAUGCCUUUCCACACAAGUUCUACUUGAUUUUGGUAUAGCAAUACAAAUAAACCAUACAAUCAACCCAUUGACCUAUAAUGAUGAGUAUUACACCCAAUCCCAACCCCUAAGGCCAAGUUCAUGAUCAUUUCUCCUCCUUACUAGGGCAUUACUACCAUAAUUAAUCCCAUACCUACCGUUGCUAUACCAAAAAUUAUUUUACUUUUGCGCAUGUUUCUAUAACAACACACACAUCACUAUAGUGGCAUGGGUGAGUAAGAAUGUCAUACCUCCCUCCCCUGAAUUUCUUACUAUCGCAAUAUAUAUUUAACCCACAAUAUUUUGAGCUAUCCCUUUCAUGAUGAGAUCAAUUUCAGGAGUCCUACUAAACAAAAAUAUGUUUGAAAAAGUGUCAUGAUUUCCCAAUCAACAUUUACCCAAUGCAUUCCCAGGUUGCUCUAAAAAAUAUCUAGCUCAGAUUUCAUCCAAGACUAGCAUAGCCUGAACCUUUAAACUUUAAAAUCCAGGAAAAAUCCUAACCCAAACUUUUUAAAAUGACGAAUUACUCAGAAUGACAGAAGGGUCAUUGCAGAAACUAAGAUUUAAUAUUUAUAGGUUCGAAAUUCUAGUUCUAAAGUUAUAUGAUAGUGUUAUACUAAAUCAAUAAAAAAUUUAAUAUACAUUGGAUCAUAGCUACUAGAUUCAGCAGACUCCAUGCUCAAUGAACUAGCUCCACCCUUGUGUAUAAUUAAUGUAUCACAAUAUAUAAGCUAGGAGUAUUAAAUAGUUUUAAAAAUAGAUAUAUAAAACUUUGAGAAAAGAAAAGUAGAAAAGUAAGAAUUGAAGAAAACAAGUAGGGGUGCGUAUCAGUCAAUCUGAUUUGAUUUUAUAUAUUAUCUGUUCAAUUUUUAUUUGUAAAUACGUUAAACCACUAACUUAACCGAUAAGAUUUAUUUUCUCAAUUUCAGAUUUAUUAAGUUUUUGUCCUUAAUAGUUCGGGUUUUGGUUUAACCGAUUAAAAAAUGCUCAUAUAGAACCAAAUGACUUUUUCAAUAUGUAAGUCAAUAACAAACUAACAAAUGACAUAUCUAUAAAAUAGUUCUAACAUCUAACUGUUAUCUUCAAAAUUUAGUAACAAACAAAACAAAUGUAAGAUCAAUAGGAUCAGCUAUUCAAAUAUACCUACUACAUUCAUCAAAAGAAACUUUCAAUUCUUAGAUGGCUUACAAAGAGACAGAAAGAAAUUAAGAGGAAAGAGAAAAGUAAAUUGAAUAUGGUUUUGUAAAAUCUAAAAUGCUAAUAUAUAGGUAGGGAUAAGGUAGUAGUUUAGUAUAGUUUUAUUGUGUUAUCCGUUUACCCAAUAACCCAAUUAAAGAACCAAAAUUGAACCAAUAACUCAGUAAUUUUUUUUCAAAAUCGUUAAGAAACCAUUAACGCAAUAAACCAAAUAGCAAUACACCAAUAAUAUAUUUUUCGAUUCUAUUUAUUGGCUGAUUCGAAUUUUGCACACCCCUAUUCAAGAGUGAAGUUUAUGGGUUUAUACAAAGGCCUAAAAUUAAUAUUAAACUUAAUAAUUAUGUGCAUUAUUAAAUAUUUAAUAAAUUUAUAAAAAAUAUAUAUAUAUAUAAACAAAAGUUAUUAAAUUCACAUGAAACUUUAGCUUUCGUGCUACAUAUGCCCAUAGGAUUUAACUAAAAAGGUAAAAUGAUCUUUUUAUUAUAUAUAUUUUUAUAUGCUCUUUCCAUAAACAAAAAUUAUAAGUGUAAUGGUAAAGUGGUUCAAAAAUUUUCAACUCUAACAUAUUCAAUUUUUAUAUCUUUUUUAAUCCACUUACAUAAAUUCAUGGCUCAAUAAUUAUUUAUUUAGAGAUAGCAAAAUUAGUUUUUUGAAACUAUAAUCUGCUUAAUUUAUUCAAGUUUGAGAGGGUUGUUGAUCCAUUUAUUUAUCAAAUCAGUUCAUUUUAAUUCAUCAAAAUUUUGGGCUAAUACGUAGUUCAAAUUGACUCAUGAGAAAUCUUGUAAAAAUAACUUUUAUUUAAUAUGUUGUGUAUAAUCAUGAUAAUUUAACAUAAGUUGGUCUGGUUGGUCUUUUAACUUUAAAAAGUAGCCAGAACAAAGAAAAAUAAUUUUAUUAGUUACUACAAAACUGUAAAAGGAUUAAAAAAAUUAAAAAAUAGUAAGAGUGCAUGUUUGGGUUGUGACCUGCAUUUUAAUUCAUCUCAUCUCAAGUAAAUUUUGGAUAGUUUAUUGUUAUCUCAAAGACUUUUGACCCACCCAAAUUCAACCCAACCCAUUAUUUGACACCUUUAUAUAUUUGUACUUGACCAUUAAAUUACCAUUCACGAAAUUAACACUAAGGUGUGCUUGGUAUGAAGGAAAUGUUUUUCCUUUUUCUCGUAUUUGAUUGAUCAAAAAUUUUGAUAAAUAUUUUCAAUAGAAAAAUAAGUUUCUUAACAAUAAUGAAAAUGACUUUCCUAAAAAGAGUAGGGAAAACAAUUUGCAUUGUCUUCUUACCAUCCCUCUGUAAGUAUCAUUUUCAUUGUUAUGUACGAACCUCCCGUUAAAAAUCUCAUGUUAAAAUACUUCUCAGUUUUGAAGUUACAAACUUUUGGCUUGGUUGGUUUCAAACGAAAUUAGAAUGAGGCAUGAUCUAGGAAAAUCAGAGAAUGAUUUGAAUGGAUUUUGUGGCAUUUGACUUAAAUUCUAGAUAGGUAAGAUAAUAAGAAACUCUUAGUAAUUUACGAAAUUGAAUUUGGGUGAGUAGAACUCCCAAAAUUAAUCUUAGCAUAAAGGUCACUAUAUAUUCUGAGUUAAUAGUGUGUUGUAAAAAGAUGGAUUUUAAGGAAGAACUGGACAUUCUGUCUCAAUGACACAACUAGAGUGGCUGGCACAUUGCUAUAUCAAUCGGCACUAUAUCAGAGAAACUCCCACUAUAGUGGUAGUCAAAGGUUGGUCAAUGCUGUUAUAGCGGUGAAAAUCACAGUUUAAUUAAAUAUUUCUUUCAAAAUAGUUUAUUAUUCAGAAACUUGUUUUGGAGCAAAGAAGUGGCGAUUUGGGGUAAUUUACAAUAGAAAUUCUUCAUUUGACUUCAAAAAGGUUAGAAAUUCAUCCUUGUUAACUUGCAAUUGAUAAUUAAGCCUUAGAAUUUCUAAUUUAUAAAGUUCGGUGAGGGCUUUAGGAUAGAAUUUAGUUUUUCCUAAUGAAAGGAAGGAAAUUAAGCAAUAAUUUAAUGAGUUUUAUUAAUUAGCAGUUAAUUUACCCUUCCAUUCCUUUAAUUUAAUAUUUAAGCCAUGGAAUUGAUAGUUUAGGUAAAUUUUGGUAGAAAAGCCCUGAAUCGAAAAAAGAAUGAUCAUGAACUUUACUUUAGGGUUUGGGGUAAGAUAUAAUUCUCGACAUGGUAGGUCAUGAUAUUAAUUACAUACUUAUAUGCCUAUUAUAGACUAUGAGCAAGCGAAAAUUGCAUGAAAGGAUAAAGCCCCGACUUAGAGAAGUGGUGCAAGUUUGGUUUGAGGUAAGUGAUGAUAUUGUAGUUUAAUUGAAUUUGUGUUAUAUGUGCAUGUUAACUACUUUGUAGUAUGGCUUUUUGGGACAUGUUAUUUAGUGUGGUCAAUACAAAUGAUUUUACGAUUGUUAUCUGAUUUUUGACCUAUCUUAUUUGUUAAAUGUAGAAUAUUCUGUAUUUAAAAUAUUAUCACUGACUUUUAGUGAAAAACGGUUUGCAGACACUUGUGUUUGGGGUUUAGUACAUGAAUAGAAAUCAUCUCCUUCAAUUCACGGCUAGAGGGUGAUUAUAUUACCCCUACUGUGUAUGUACGAGGGUCAAGUGAUUUUACAUCUCCAUGAGUGAACCGAGAAAUAUAUUUAUAUACUAAAUAAAUUAUUCUAACUUGUAUUGACUUAACAUGACUAAAUUUGACUGGUAAUAAUAUGUUGAUUUUUUUGUUUUGAUCCCUAAUUGCUUAUUUUAUUGCUUUUUAUGCUAAGUGUGAUUGUUAAGUGUGGAUUAACUUGUUCUACUAUAAUUUGGUUAUGUGUUUAUAUUCCCAUCUUGGGUUGGCCAAAUGACUAUACCAGUACACCAUCGUUUUCUUAUGUGUUAAUAUUACACAUGCUCUUACUUUUGUGAGUGUAGUGUAUAUUUUGGCGGCUCCUACAAGACCUCUGUUGUGAUCCCAGUGGUUGACUUUAGAUUUCACAGUGAACAGUAUAUCUGGGCUACUAUGGAAUCACUCCUUAUUGGCAUUAUUUUUGAACAUAAGUUUCCAUUUCAGUUCUUGGGGUUGCAUCACCUUCUGAACAUUUUUUAGUUGUUUUGGUAAGGAUGACCUUAAGUUUCUAAGGAUAAUUUAUCUUCUUAAGUACAAUUUUUCACCUUUGAUUGCAAUUAAUUUUUUGGUUUAGCCUUGAUUUUAUCUAUUAAUGGAUUAGUUAAUGAUUUUCUAAGAGUUGUUUGUAAGAUGGGGUUUUGGGAUAGAUGGUUCUUCUUCCAGGUGAAUACUGUUGGUGCCAGGUUUUCGAUCAUGAUAACGUAGGUGUUAGAUCCUAGGUUGUUUGAUCUCAGCAUACCAAAUUGAGGUCAGUAGAGUCUCGCAUAACAAUACGAAGAUGUCUGUACUUUUUUGAAAGGUUAUAGGACUUUAGAAAAUUUGUCAUUCUAGUUUCUUUCAUGAUAUAUUUUGAUUCCAAUUGAUAUCUGGCUAUCCAAAUUUGUAUCUAAUCCCAUACAUUAUUUUGUUCGUAGAUGGUGUAUAUUAGGUCCAACAAAACCAUACCAGAAACACCUAUAUCAGCCGCUCCAGCUGUNNNNNNNNNNNNNNNNNNNNNNNNNNNNNNNNNNNNNNNNNNNNNNNNNNNNNNNNNACCGCCAAGGUUAUAGCUCAAGCGGUGGUUUACCGAACACUUGAGAGGUCAGUAUCACCCUCCCCCCAAUGAUGUACCAUGGUUUCAUGGCACUUUUGAUGUUUUAAAUUAUGAAAAGAUAAAAUACUUAGGCCAUUUUGUUAGAUAUGAUGUGGGUUUUGUGUGUGUUGUGGGAAAAUUAGGUUGGAAGGAGAAUGGAGCGGAAUAAGAUGAAAAAGAGCUGAAAAUCAAAGACACUUACUGGACUACAAGUCGUUAUAUGACUAUAAGACUCGUAGCCCAAGUCAUGGUGAUAAAAGUGAAGGUUGUUGAUUCUAAAAGUGAAUUUGAGGUUGACCACGACUCAUUAAGAGUUACAACAAUUUGUGGUGUGAGUCAUUCAGAACAAAUUCAUGAAAGUCGUGAAGAGAGCCAAGUUAAAGCCCAAAAAGAAAUAGAAGAAGACUAUAUGUCAUCAUGAUAGGGUACGACUUGUAGUGAGAAGUCGUUCUGACAACAGAGAGAAAAGUCCUCAAAGGUGAAAAUAUACUAGAGUGAUAAUGUAGUAUCUGACCAUAAGUCCUCAUCACUCAGCACAAAUAGAAGGCAACAGAGUAGACAACGAGUCAUCAUUAGACCAGACGACCCGUUGCCUAAGGUGUAGCCACUACCGACUUUAUUUUCCUAUUUUUUUUAUUAGGUUUUCUUUGUUAUUUUGAGAAACUAUAAAUAUCCAUUGGAUACUCUUGUAAUAGGUUACCACUCAUACGAUUCUCAAAUACAUAUUUGAUUCUAAGAUUGAAUUUUGAUCUUGGAAUCUAUUUAUUCUUGGUUUUUGGUUGAUUAAUUGAUUUGAGGCUUUGGGUUUCUUGGUAAAUUAUUUUUGAGAUUAUUCUUAUGAUUUUUAUUGAGUUUAAUGGAUUGUUUCGCAACUAUGAGCGACUAAUUCCCUUAACUAUGGUUAUGGGAACCAUGGCAGAAUAACAAAGUAGGGGAAGUGUGAUGUUUUUCAAGAUCACUAUUUACACUUACAUUGUGAUCUUCUUCAGUUUAAUUGCUUUCUUAGUGGUGAAAAACUCUAAGAACCUGUCUGUAUUCGAGAUCCUCUUUACAAGAGAGACUAAUAUUGGUAAAUGGAGAUUAUAAUAGUGAUUCGAGGCUAUCAACCCUCGUCUAAUAACUUGAUACCCACAAGAUGAUAGUUAAACUGGGAUUAAAGACAAGGGUUAGAAAUGUGUCACCCUGAGACUCACAAGGUGAAGGGUGAGAUUUACCAACGCAUUCAUAAGAUGGUUAGCAAUACCUAGCUUAUCCAAUUCUGCAUGUAUGGCAGUGAGAUAGUUAGAUAGGGCAUGAGAAACCUACUAAGUUAGGAAGCUAAGGGAACACAGUCCUAGUGCUCAUCUCAGAUUGUUUACAACCAAAAGCAUUCCAACUUGUUACUUUUUAUUAUUUACUACAAAAUCCUGUCAUUAGCUUUACUGUAUUUUUAGCUACUUUAUCAAGUUCGAGAGAUGGAUUUAACCUAUUCCCUGUGGUAUCAAACCUAACCUAGUUGGGUUACUAUAAUUUGAUGGCGACUACAUUGUAUCUUUUUGGAGGGUAUAGUUUGGGAGACAUCAAAUUUUGGCAUCAUUGCCGGGAAAUAUGGUUCAAGAUUUGUUGAUUAAAGUUGUAGAGGUUUUCUAUGUUUACUUUUCUGUUCUUCUUAGGGAGUACAUCGGUGUAUUCCCAGUACUAAGAGUCAAGGUAAUUCUUUGAUCCCAUUUAAUUUAGAGCCAAAAAAAUCCUACAACAGAAUCAUAGGAUGUCACAACACGGUCAUGAUGCUCAUCAUGAGCUACCUCAAGAUGAUCCACAAGACUUGCCUCCCCCCACCUCCUCAUGAGAUAGUAGAGCAAACCACUGAGCGGUUACUAUUAGAGGUUAAUACAAAUAGGAAUAAUGAGGUUGCCCAACGUCAGCUCAAGAGGUAGAAAGGGCGAGACAGACACCAAUAGAUGAUCGCCAAGCAGAAAACAAUAGAGGUAGAAGAGAUAGAGCUCCAGUACCCCCAACUUUUUAGUACUUCCAAGUAUAUGAAUAUCUACAUAAAGACUUAGGUAUGUAUAGACUAUUGAGACAAGAGCCAUCAUUCCUCUUGUACUACCCCUGGGGGUAAAGUUCAACAUUAAUAGUACUAUGAUCCAGUUAUUUAAUCUGAAAGGUGUGUUUGUUGUCUUGCCAACUGAUGGUGCAAACAUGCACUUUAUUAAUUUUGUUGGGAUUUUCACUUCAUACACUAUACCUAGGGUAGAUUAGAAAGCUCUUAAACUUAGGUUGUUCCUAUUCUCUCUAACUAGUGAAGUGACAUUAUGUCAGGGAAAUUACCUUGUGUGUCCAUUACUAGUUGGAAUGAGCUGCGAAAGUAGUUGUUAGAUAGUUUCAUCCCUUCGACCAUAAUUCUACUGUUGAAGAAUGUGGUUUAUAAUUUUAGGCAAUUACAAUCUGAAUUUAUAUAUAAGGCAUGGUUUUGAUUUAAGAAGAAGUUGAUGAUGGUGCCUAAUCACAAAAUUUUAGGGAGAAAUCUACUGGAGAUUUUCUAUUGUGCCCUGAAUACUAGUUUUAGAGCUAUGGCAGAUACUGUUACUGGUGGAGCAUUGAUGAACCUAUGUUCGGAUGUAGCAUCAGAAAUCAUAGAUUGAAUUUCUCUUACCAACCGAGGGUGGCAUACUCAGGAGGAAGAGAGAGAUAUUGGCACUUAUCCUAUUGGUGCUUCCAAUAAUCCUAUAGUCGUUGAUAAUUUAGUGGCUCAAGAGGUUACACAGUUAAGAAUGGAGAUUGGGUUACUGAAAAAUCAGUUCACAAUGAUGAAUUCUGAGAAGGUGAAUAUUGUGGGACACAAGGUAAAGCUUUUAGUUUAUAUAAUUCUGAUGUGGAUGAAGAGAAAAAGUAUCUAGAUAGAAAGUUGGCAGGUUUUUUAGCCAAGGGUCAAUCAUUUACUCAAGACAAUUGGAACUCAAGGCAAGGAAAUCAAGGUUGGAACUACUAUAAAGAUAGAUAUAGAAAUAAAAGUAGAGAGAGAGAUAGUGACUAGAGACUUAAAGAUGAUUAUAAGAAAAAAAGUGGUGCAUAUGUUCCAUCGAGGAACUGUGACAUUAAAUCAAGGAUGAAGUCUAUGUUGUUAAAGGUGGUAAAGGUUCAAGAAAGUUAGGAGAGUUACCUUAAGGAGAUUAAGACAGAUAUUUCAAGUUUGACAUAAAAAGUAGGAUCAAAUGCUACUGCAAUCAAGCAAUUGGAGUAGCAUUUUGGAGAGAUUUCAGCAAAUUUGAAUCAACAUCAAUCAAGCACCCUUUUGAGUAAUAUAAUGCAGAAUCCAAAGAACAACAAUCACUAUUUAGACAUCACCACUAGGGGUGGUAAGGCCACCAUUGAUCAUCCCAUGCCUGUAGUUAAUGAAUCUAGGAAUGAUAAUGAUGAUGACAUAGAUAAGGCACCGGAAGCGGAAUCUGAAAAAUUGGUGACUAGUGUGGAGUCAUCACAAAAAUUGGUAGGUAUUGAUAAAAGUGUUGAGAAGGAUAAAUCAAAGAAGAAGGUAUUCGAUCAUGUGCUAAAGAUCAUUCCACAACCUCUCUCUCCUUUUCAUUGGAGAUUAAAGAAAAAAUAAGAUGAAGGGAAGUAUCAGAAGUUCUUGUCAAUAUUAAAGUAAUUGUCUAUUAAUAUUUCUUUUGUAGAGGUAAUAGAGCAUAUUCCUAGCUACACUAAGUUCAUAAAGAAUUUGGUUACUAAAAAGAAGAUGGUGAGUUUUAAGCCCACUGAUAAUGAUCAUCAUUAUAGUGUCGUUGUUUUUUUAUCGUUGGUUGAGAAAAAAGAGGACCCUAAAGCAUUUAUUAUUCCAUGUACCAUUGGGUCCUUUACUUCUCCAGAUCUUUAUGUGAUUUGGGAGCUUGUAUCAAUCUUAUGUCAUUGGUUGUAUAUAAAAAGUUAUGGUUAGGGUCACCCAAACCUACAUCCAUGAGGUUAUUGAUAGCUGAUUGGAUUGUGAAGAAACUAGUUAGUAUUUUGGGUGAUGUUUUGGUGAGGGUAUCAUCCUUCAUAUUCCUAAUAGAUUUCAUGAUCCUUAAUUAUGAUGUGGACUUUGAAGUCUAUAUUAUCUUAGGAAGGCCUUUUCUAGCUACGGGUAGGGCCUUGUUUGACAUGGAGAUGAGGUAGGUGAAGUUCAGACACAACGAUGAGCAAAUUACUUCUAAUAUAUGUCAGUCUAUGCAAUAGCCGAAGGAUAUGAGAGUAGUGUCCAUGACUCAGACUAUUGAUGAUGAUACAGUUACUAUGCCCAUUGAAUAGAGACUUGGGGUUAAGGCGUUAGCAGUAGUUAUCAUGAACUUUGAUAAUAAUGGAAUCAAUGAGUAUGAUGAGAUGGUGAGCAUGUACUAAGUUAGAGAUUGUUAUAAUUAUGAUCUGAAGAAGCUGGAUAUUGAAAUAAAGAACAGAACCACUCCUCCAGCUCGACCAUCUAUUGAGGAUCCAUCGGACAUAGAAUUGAAGGCCCUCCCAUCUCACUUGUGUUAUGCAUUUUUAUGGGCCGAUAAUACCUUGUCGGUUAUUAUUGUUGCUGAUUUAUUGGAGACAUAGGUUGAAGCAUUGAUUUCAGUGUUGCAUAGGCUUAAAGAGGCCAUAGAAUGGACUAUUGCAAACAUUAUAGGGAUUUCAUCCAAUAUUUACACUUAUAAGAUAUAGCUUGAACCAUAAUGUAUAUCGAACAUCAAGCACCAGGGUAGGUUGAAUCCUCAUAUACAAGAGAUAAUGAAGAAAGAAAUCAUCAAGUGGUUGCAUGCUAGAGUGGUCUACCCCAUUGCGAAUAGCAAGUAGAUCAGCCCAAUUUAAUGUAUUCCAAAGAAGGGUGGGAUAACUGUAGUCCCUAAAGACAAGAAUGAAUUGGUGCCCAUGAGAUCGGUCACUGGAUGGAGAGUGUGCAUGGAUUACAGGAAAUUGAAUACUUGGACUCAAAAGGACCAUUUCCCUAUUCCAUUCAUGGAUUAGAUUCUUGAUAGACUCGCAGGUAAGGGUUGGUACUAUUUUCUUGGUGGGUACUCAAGAUACAAUCAGAUUUUAAUUGCUCCCAAAUAAUAGGAAAAGACAACUUUUAGUUGCCCUUCUAAGACUUUUGCAAUCAAAAAAAUGUCGUAUAGACUUUACAAUGCUCUCGCCACCUUUCGGUGAUGUAUGAUGUCUAUAUUUUCUGAGAUUGCAGAGGACACCAUAUAGGUAUUCAUGGAUGAUUUUUUGGUAGUUGGAGGCUCUUUUGAUGAUUUCUUGGCCUAUUUGUCCAACGCACUCCAACGAUGUGAGGAAUGAAAUUUAGUGCUAAAUGAGGAGAAGUGCCAUUUUAUGGUGCAGGAACGUAUUGUUCUUGGUUAUAAUAUCUCAAAGAAGGGUGUUGAGGUGGAUACAGCAAAGAUUGAGGUGAUUGAAAAAUUACCUCCUCCAGUCUUCGUUAAAGUUAUCCAAUCUUUUUGGGUCAUGCUGGAUUUUAUAGGAGUUUUGUCAUGGACUUCUCUAAAAUUACUAAUUCUCUGUUCACGAUUAAUUUGUACUUGAUGAUGCAUGUCUCAAGGUCUUUGACUAUCUUAAGGAGCGGUUGAUCUCGACUCCUAUUAUUGUGUCCUCGAUUGGUCCUUACUAUUUAAGGUUAUGUACAAUCCUAAUGGAGUGGCCUUGUGUGUUGUCCUUGGCAAAUAAGUGAGAAAAUCCUUCACUCGAUCUAUUAUGCCAGCAAGGCAUUAAACCUUGCACAGAAGAACUAUCCAGUCACCAAGCAGGAGUUGCUCGUAGUAGUUUUUGCCUUUGAGAAGUUCUAGUCCUAUUUGUUAUGAACCAAAGUCAUAGUUCACACAAAUCAUGUAGCUUUGAGAUAUCUAAUGUCAAUAAAGGAUGCUAAACCAAUGAUGAUAUGUUGGGUCCUCUUAUUUCAAGAAUUUGACUUAGAGGUAAAAUAUCAAAAGGGCAACGAGAACAAGCUUAUUGAUCACUUAUCUCGCCUUAAGGAAGAGGCAAUUCAGAAGUUAGGGGAUGAGCUUGACAUAAAUGAUACUUUUCCAAAUAAGAAAGUCUUGGUAGUAUCUCAAGUCUUAAUCCCCUAGUUUGCUUAUUUUGCCAACAUUUUGGUAAGUGUUCUAGUUUUUGAAUAUUUGUCAUUCCAGAAGAGAAAUUGGUUCAUACAUGAGGUGGUAAAAAUUUGCUAGCAUAAGUCGUAUCUCUUUCAGAUUUGUGUAGAUGGUGUUGUUUGUAGAUGUAUUUCUGAAGUGAAGAUAAUAAGCAUCCUUGAGGCUUGUCAUUCAUCACCAGUUGGGGGUCAUCAUGAUGGUACCCUCAUAGCCCAUAAGAUUCUACAGUGUGGGUAUAAUUAGCCUACUAUCUAUAAGGAUACCCAUGCAUUUGCCAAAGCCUGUGACCAGUGUCAGUGACAAGGCAAUAUUUCACAGAGACAUAAAAUCCCCAUGACAUCUAUUCUAGAGUUGGAGUUGAUUGAUGUAUGGGGAAUUGACUUCCUGGGUCCAUUUGUGGGCUCUAUACGAUAAAGUACAUUCUAGUGGUAGUUGACUAUGUUUCGAAGUAGGUGGCGGUGGUUGUUCUUCCCAAUAAUGAGGGUUAAUGUGUCAUUGUGCUAUUGAAAAAGAAUAUAUUUUCUAUGUUUCGCACUCCACGUGUGAUUGUUAGUGAUAGUGGGUCUCACUUCUGCAACCAUCUUUUCAAGGCCUUACUCAAAAAAUAUUGUGUGAAGCAUAAGGUGGCAACACCUUGCCAUCCUUAGAUGAGUGUGCAAGUUGAGGUCUCAAAUAGAGAGAUCAUGUCCAUAAUGGCGUAGACUAUGAAUGCCACUAACUAGUCAAGGAUGUAGCAUGAUGCUUUGUGGGCCUACUGGACAUCUUUUAAGACCCUUAUAGGUUCCUCACCAUAUCAUCUUGUGUACUGCAAGGCAUGCCAAUUGCCAGUUGAAAUUUAGCACAAGAUAUUAUUAUAACACUUCAUAUUUCCCUAGUAUAAUCUAAGUCCCAAUAAAUGAGUAGUCAUGUAUAAAAUUCUGAAACACUCGUUAUUUUUCAGUUUAUAGAACAUGCCUCCCAAGAAGAACGGAAGAAGAAUAAGCUCUCAGCCAGCCCCUCAGCUCAUCCAGGCAGAUCGUCUGGAUGAGCAUGUCUCUCACGCAAAAUUUAGGGUUGUGUUCACUACUCUAGUAAACUCCAUAGCAGCAAAGAAUGAACAGCCAGGUGCACUUUCGGCCAACCCAGUGGCCAAUAUUGCUGCAACCAGAAUUCAGGAUUUCACCCGAAUGAAUCCUCCUUCCUUCAUGAAGUCUAAGUCUGAAGAGGAUCCAUAGGAAUUCUUAGAUAUGGUUCAGAAGGUAACGGAUGCUAUGGGGGUGAUGUCUAGUUAGAGUGCCAAGUUGGAUGCAUAUCAAUUAUAGGGUAUAGCCCAUACUUGGUUUAAGCAGUGGAAAGUUGAUACAGGUGUUGAUGAAGAGCCUAUAGAAUGGGAAGAGUUUGCCACGACUUUCUUAGACAGAUUUUUUUUAUUAGAGUUGAGAGAGGCCAAGGUGUUAGAAUUUAUUAAUUUGAGGCAAGGCAGCAUGAGUGUGAGGGAGUAUUCCCUCAAAUUUACUCAGUUAGCUAGGUAUGCUCCUCAUGUGGAAGCUAAUAAUAGGUCCAAGAUGAGUAAGUUUGUAUCUGACGUAUCUGAUAAUGCGGUUAAGCAGCGCAGAACCGCAAUGCUGAUUAGUGAGAUGGACUUGUCUAAACUGAUGUUCCAUGCUCAACAGAUAGAGGGGAAAAUAUUAAGGAGAGAGAGAGAGGAAAUAAGAGAGCUAGGAUGGGUAGUUUUAAUUUUAAUCAGCCAAAGUCAGAAGGUGGCAACCGUCCUCAUUUUCAUCAAAGGUCUACAGCCCUAGCACCCUCUUCAGCCAGUGCCCCAGUAUCUAAAUUCAAAAAUGACAAUAAGGAUAGGUCACCAGGAUCUAAGUCCCAAUUUAGUGUUAGUAGUGCUCGUAUAAAUCCUUUAUGUCAUAAGUGUGGCAGACACCAUCAAAGUUAGUGUAGAGUGGCAAGUGAUGUGUGCUUUGGGUGUGGCAAUCUAGGCCAUCGAAUUUGAGAGUGUCGAGUAGUUUCUCAGAAAGGUAGGGAUACGCGCCAAUAAGUCCAGUCCCAUCAGUCAUCUGUUCUAUCUGGUCGCCCAACUCAGAAGGGUGUUGCUUCCAAUGCUACCAGUAGUCAGUAUCCAAACAGAUUAUAUGCUCUUCAGUACCACCAAGAUCAGGGAAAUUCUCCUAACGUAGUACGUUAUAGGUCUUUCACUUACAUGUUUAUACUUUACUUGACCCUGGAGCUUCUAUUUCUUUUGUAACUCCAUAUAUAGCUGUCAAUUUUAGAGUCAGUCUUGAAAAUAUAGCAGAGCCCUUUUUAGCAACUACCCCAGUGGGUGUUUCAAUUGUAGACAGAUAGGUAUACAGGAACUGUCCAGUCACAAUAUCUCAAAAAGUUACAUCAGUUGAUCUCGUGGAGUUGGAGAUAACAGAUUUUGAUGUCAUUCUCGACUUGGAUUGGAUCCACUCAUGCUAUGCCUCAGUUGAUUGUAGAAACAAAAUAGUUCAUUUUUAGUUUCCAAAUGAACCAUUCCUUGAAUGGAGGGGUAGUACUAUAGCUCUUAGGGGAGAGUCAGUUGAUUUCUUAACUUAGAGCUAGAAAGAUGAUAUCCAAGGGGUGUGUCUAUCAUCUUGUACGAGUCAAAGACUCUAACUUAGAAAAUCCUACUCUUGAGUAAGUCCCAGUAGUAAAUAAAUUCUCAGAUAUAUUUCCUAAAGAUCUCCUUGGAUUUUCUCCCAAAAGGGAAAUCAAUUUCGGAAUUGACUUUCUCCCAGAUACUCAGCCUAUAUCUAUUCUGCCGUACAGAAUGGCUCCAACUGAACUCAAAGAACUAAAAGAAUAGUUGAAUAAUCUCAUAGAUAAAGGAUUCAUAAGACCCAGUGCCUCCCCGUGGGGCCCACCUAUUCUAUUCGUGCAUAAGAAAGACGAUUCUUUCAGAAUGUGCAUAGACUACCGUCAGUUGAACAAUGUCACAGUCAAUAAUAAAUAUCCACUUCCUAGAAUCGAUGAUUUUUUUGACCAACUUUAGGGUGCCAAUUACUUUUUCAAGAUAGACCUCAAAUCAGGCUAUCAUCAGCUUAGAGUUAGAGAACAUAACAUUCCAAAAAUAUCUUUUUGAACUCGGUAUGGUCACUUUGAAUUUCUAGUCUGUUCUUUGGUAUUACAAAUGCCCCAGUAGCCUUCAUGGAUUUGAUGAAUCGAGUGUUCAAGCAGUACUUGGACAUGUUCGUCAUAGUCUUCAUUGAUGACAUUCUUGUCUAUUCUCAUAGCAAAAGAGAUCAUACAGACCAUCUCAGCAUAGUGCUUCAGACUCUUAGAGCUCAUCAGUUGUUUGCUAAAUUCAUUAAGUGUGAAUUUUGUCUAAGAUCAGUAGCAUUUCUUGGUCAUAUUAUUUCUGGUGAUGGCAUUAUAGUUGAUCCUCAAAAGACUGAAGCAGUGAGAAACUGGCCUAGACUCAUCUCUUCAUCAGAUAUCAGGAGUUUCUUAGGUUUAGCUGGCUAUUAUCGUUGGUUUGUUAAAGGGUUUUCUUCUAUUGCUUCCCCCAUGUCCAGAUUGACUCAGAAGAAAGUUAAGUUUCAGUGGUUAGAUUCAUGUGAGAAGAGUUUUCAAGAGUUGUAGACUCGACUCACCUCAGCCCCAAUCUUGACUCUACCAGAUGGUUCAAAUGGCUUUGUUAUAUACUGUGAUGCAUCCAAAGUAGGUUUGGGUUAUGUCCUCAUGCAGAGAAGUAAGGUCAUAGCCCACUCCUCCAGACAGCUUAAAACCCAUGAGAAGAAUUAUCCGACUCAUGAUCUUGAGCUAGUAGCUAUAGUGUUUGCCUUAAAGAUUUAUAAACAUUACUUGUAUGGGGUGCACUUAGAUGUGUUCACAGAUCACAAAAGCCUUCAGUAUGUGUUCUCUCAGAAAGAUUUGAAUUUGUGUCAGAGAAGAUAGUUAGAGUUAUUGAAAGAUUAUGACAUGAGUAUUCUGUAUUAUCCGAGCAAGGCCAAUAUAGCGGUUGAUGCUUUCAAUAGAAUGUCUAUGGGUAGUGUAGCUCAUGUUGAGGAUGGUAAGAAAAAGUUAGCUCAGGAAACUCAUCAGCUUGCACGACUAGGUGUCUGUUUACUCAAUUCAGCAGAAGGUAGUGUGUGGGUGCAGAAUAGCUCAGAUUCAUCUCUAGUCUCUGAGGUAAAGGAAAAGAAGGAUAGAGAUCCCAGUCUGGUUAAGUUGAAUAAAUUAGUCAGAGAUCAAAAAGUGGAGGUUUUCUCCCAAGAGGGAGAUGGUGUUUUGCAGUAUCAGGGUAGAUUAUGUGUGCCUAGUGUAGAAGAGUUGAGGCAAUGAAUUCUUGUAGAAGAGCAUGGGGCGCGUUACUCUAUUCAUCCAGGGGCCACUAAGAUGUACCACGAUUUGCGAGAGAUCUAUUGGUAGAGUGGGAUGAAGAGAGAUAUUGUAGAGUUUGUAGUUAAGUGCUCUACAUGUCAGAAAGUUAAGGUUGAUCACCAAAAACCUAGUGGGUCAAUGAAGGAGUGCAGUAUUCCCAUGUGGAAAUAGUAGAAAGUGAACGUGAACUUUGUGAUAGGUUUGCCUCAUCCCCGCCAUCAGCAUGACUCUAUUUGGGUUAUCGUAGACGGGAUUACCAAAUCAGCUUAUUUCUUGCCAGUUCGUACCUCUUAUUCAGCCUAAGACUAUGCCAAUCUCUAUCUCAGAGAGUUAGUUAGGUUGCACGGUAUUCCCUUAUCUAUUAUCUCAAAUAGAGAUGCUCAGUUUACCUAUUACUUCUGGAAAGUAUUCUAAAAGGGUCUUGGUACCCAAGUUCACCUCCAGCCUUCCACCCUCAGACAGAUGGUCAAGCAGAAAGGACCAUUCAGACUCUUAAGGAUAUAUUAAGAGCAUGCGUUGUUGAUUUCAAGGGCUGUUGGGAUGAUCAUUUUUCUUUGAUUGAAUUCACAUACAAUAACAAAUAUCAUUCCAGUAUCUGUAUGGCUCAAUUUGAGGCACUCUAUGGUAUGAGAUGUAGAACUCCAAUUGGUUAGUUUGAAGUAGGUGAGGCUGUAGUAGUAUGGCCUGACUUGGUGUUUUAUGCGUUAAAAAAGGUUCAGUUGAUAAAAAAAAGGCUUAGGGCUGCCCAGAGCCUCCAAAAAUUAUAUGCAGAUGUGAGGAGAAAGGGUCUCAAGUUUGAGGUAGGUGACUUUGUGUACUUGAAAAUCUCUCUCAUGAAGGGAGUGAAGAGUUUUGGCAAGAAAAACUCAAUUCUCGAUAUGUCUUUCCCUUCAGAAUUCUCAGUCAUUUUGGAAAGGUAGCUUACGAGCUUGAGUUGCCUUCAAUUUAGCCUCAGUACACCCAGUGUUCCAUGUCUCAUUAUUGAAAAAGUGUGUUAGUGAUCCAACCGUAGUUGUUCCCUUUGAAAGUGUAGAUAUUUAGAACAGUCUUUCCUUUGAGGAAGUCCCAGUCGAAAUUCUUGAUCAUCAAGUUUGUAGACUAAGGAACAAAGAAGUUUCACUAGUCAAAGUUCUUUGGCGGAAUCAAUCCAUUGAGGGAGCCACUUGGGAAGCAGAGGCAGAUAUGAGGACCAAGUACCCUCAUCUCUUCUCCGCGAAUUCAAAUUUAGUAUGAGGUACCAAUCUUCUUAAGAUUUUCUUUUCUCUCCAUCAAGCUCAGUUUCAGUUGCACAUCAUGUUUAUGUCAAUCGUGUAUUCAUGAAUCAGUUCAGUCAUGCAUUCUAAGCAUCAGACAUGCAUAUUCAGUGUGUAAGCUCAAUCCACCAGUUCCCACAUCUUAACCAGUUUCAUUCGAGGAUGAAUGAUCACAAGGGGGAGAUAUUGUAACACCCUGUAUUUCCCUAGUAUAAUCUAAGUCCCAAUACAUAAGUAUUCAUUUAUAAAAUUUUGAAACACUCAUUAUUUUUCAGUUUAGAGCCUUCCAUUGAGCAGGAAAUUCAGUUACCUUUCCAAGGAUAUAAAAUUCGCCUAAAUCCAAUAACCAGGUAAGAAGUUAUGGCAAUUUUAAGUUUAAGCCAUUAAACACCCUCAUUUUAAAAUUUAGCGCGUCACGAAGCAGGCCAAUCCCCCAUUUGGUAAAUUCCAGUGAGGGUCCGCAAUCCUGGCGCGUCGCGCCAUAGGUCAAUUUGACAUUUGUCCAUUUCCAGUAUCAAAGCAAGAUACCACCGCGUCGCGGUGAACUUUCAGGUCCCUAUCAGUGAAGGACCACGAUUUCCCCGCAUCGCACCGUAGACCAGUUUCCCAAUUAUCCAAUUCCAGUGACACGGCACGAUAGCGCCGUGUCGCGCCAAACCAAAAAAUUGAGAUUUUCAGUUAGUUCUGAGUUUUAAUUCCAAAGGCCUUUAAGUACUUUUCCCUUAUCCCAGUUAACCCCAAAUACAAAAUUAAGUCCCUAAUAACCAAACUGGUCAUUAUUCUAGUCAAUUAUUCCCUAAAAACAAGAACAUUUCCUCAAGUAGCAAAACCCUAACCUUCAAGAAUCAAGGUCAAACCUCAAGAACUCUCCAGCAAUCCUUUCAAAUUCUUCAUCCUAAGUAUGUUAGUUGUUCAUCCAUGGAGUCCAAGUAUUCGUUUUAAUUAUAAAUCUAUCAUAUUUUCAAGAUUUAUGAUAUUAAAUUAUGAUUUAAAACUAUGAAUCUCCAUGAACUUCCAUGAAUAUUGAUUUUAUACUAUACUUUAAUGGAAUUAUCGUUGUUAUCAAAUCCCCCAUGUUUUAAUAUUGUCAUUCUUUGAAUUAGAUCAUGAUUUAGUGUUAUAAAUGUUGAAGUCAUGCUAUUAUUUCAAGUUUUAUACUAUUCCCAUGAAUUAACUUAACUAUGAACUACAAUUAUUUGAUAAAAUGCCUACAAGAGUGAAUUAUUUAGUAAGAGCCUUCCUAGUUUGGCCUUCAAGCUUUAGUGUCUUUUCAGUAUUAUUGUUUUGAGUCCCGGGGGUAUUGAAUACCCAAAAACCAUAGUUGUUAAUUUAGUCUAGCCUCAGUACAUUACAGAAUAGUCUUCAGAUUAUAUUAUGAGCAUUAUCAGAAUAGUCAAAUAUCAGAUAUUUAACUCAGAACAAUCUAGUAUCUCGGUGUCUUUUAGUUAGGAAUAGAAUUUAGCACCGAGCGAGUGUAAGGACAGUGGAUUCCCCAUCAGAUAGGCAGAGUCAUUAGUAGCAGUCCCUAUACUCCAGAACUACGUAGACAGUGUAAGAUAUGAGUAGUCACCCGUCAGAUUAGCCUUGACUAUCUCGCAUGGGUCACCCGCCAGUUCAGGCUUGACACCCUUAGUCCUUUGGACAUUAUAUCAAUUUAGUGGAUCCACACAGCCAUUGUUAGUUCCCGUGGCAUGGUAUUAACACCCUUCCAACUGGGGUUAUGGGUUGGACCCCUAUUAGCCCAAAUUAUAGAAUAUCGGUUAGAUGAUACCUCCCACAGUCUCAGUUACAGUCCCAGCUCAGUUAUUCAGUCUUAGUGUUGUUUGACCAAAGCAUACAGAUUUUAGUUAUUUCAGUAUUUUAGUUUAAAGAUUUUACUCAGUUAUGUUAUAUGCUUGGUCAUGCACAUUUUUUUAUUCUAUGCACAUUGUUGGAACUUCUUUGUGAGUAUGAGUGCCUUAGGACCAUCCCCGUAUUAACAUGCAUAAUUUAUUUGAGUGAGUAGGACUUCUUUGUUGUGAAGUUAUAUGGAUUGUAUUGCUAGCUGCUUAUUUGUUUAGGUAAUAUAACUUGUACAUAUGUAUGAUUGUUUAUUAAUAGUGUAAUUCCAUAGCAUGAUUUCUUUGUGUUAUGUUGUUGUGCAACAUAAAUCCACACAGUUGGUCAUGAAAAGUAAAAAUAAGAGGUGGUGAGGUUUGCGAGCUGAAUUUGAGAUUGACUGCCAUAGGUAUCUUAGGUUUUUCGUGGUUAAGCAUCGUGUUUUGUUUUUGUUGUAUUUUUGUUUCCUGAGGACAUGCAAAUGUUCUAAGUUGAGGGUGUUGAUGUGUCAUGGUUUCAUGGAACUUAAGAUGAUUAAAACUAUGAAAAAAUGCAAAUACUUUGGCCAUUUUGUUUGAUAUGAUAUGUGUUUUGUGUGUGUUGAAGGAAAAUUAGGUUGGAAGUGGUAUGGAGAAGAAUAAGAUGAAAAGGAGUUGAAAAUCAAAGGCCCUAACUAGACUAUGAGUUGUUAUAUGACUAUACAACUCAUAGCCCAAGUCGUGGUGAUAACAAUGAAAAUUGUUGAUUCUAGGAGUGAAGUUGAGGCUGACCUCAACUCGUUGGGGAUGACAAUAAGUUGUGGUGUGAGUCAUUUUGGGCAAAUUUUCAAAAGUCCUAAGGAGAGCCAAGUUAAAGCCCCUAUGGAAAUAGAAGAAGACGAUGAGCCGUCAUGACAGGGUACGACUUAUAGUGAGGAGUUGUUCUGACAAAAAAGAGAAAAAUCCUGAAAGGUGAAAAUCGACUGGAGUGAUAACGGGUCCAACUAAUGACUUAUAGUGUCUUACCACAAGUCACCAUCACUCAACACAGAAAGAAGGCAAUAGAGCUGACAAUGAGUCAUGUCAGUCCAAACGACUCGUUGCCUGAGGCGUAGCCACUACCGACUUUAUUUUUAUAUUUUUUUGUUAGGUUUUCUUUAUUAUUUUGAGAAACUAUAAAUACCCAUUGGAUACUUUUGUAAUAGUUUAUGCACUUAAACUAUUCACAAACAUAUAUUUGAUUCUAAGAUUGAAUUUUGAUCUUGGAAUCUCUUUGUUCUUGGUUUUUGGUUGAUUAAUUGAUCCGAGACUUUAGGUUUUCUUCAUAAAUUAUUUUUGAGAUUAUUCUUAUGUUUUCUUUAUUGAUUUUCAUGGAUUGUUUCGCAACUAUGAGCGGCUAAUUCCCUUAGAUAUAGUUGUGGGAACCAUGGCAGAAUAGCAAAGUAGGGGAAGUGUGAGGUUUUCUACAUCAUUAUUUACACUUGCAUUAUGAUCUUUUUCAGUUUAAUUGCUUUCUUAGUGUGGCCAACUCUAAUAACCUAUAACAAGAGAGAUUAAGAUUUGGAAAAAGAAAUUACAACAGUGAUUUGAGGCUAUCAAUCCUUGUCUAAUAACUUGAUACCCACAAGGUGAAAGUUAAACUAGGAUCAAAGACAAAGGUUGGCAAGGUGACACCCUGAGACUUACAAGGUGAAGUAUGAGAUUUACCAACGCGUUCAUUAGAUGGUUGGUAAUACCUAGCUUGGCAGAUUCUGCAUAUGUGGUAGUGAGAUAGUUGGAUAGGGAAUAAGAAACCUACUGAGUUAGGAAGCCAGGAUAACACAGUUCGAGUGUUCAUCUCAAGUUUUUUACAACCAAAAUCAUUCACAACUUGUUACUUUUUACUUUUUAGUACAAAAUCCCCUUAUUUACUUUUCUACACUUCCGUUUACUUCAGUAAGUUUGAGAGACGGAUUCGACCUAUUCCAUGUAAGAUCGACCCCAACCUUGUUGGUUUAUUAUAAUUUGAUAGCGACCGCAUUGUAUCUUUUUGGAGGGCAUAAUUUGGGCGACAUCGUCUCACCUCCAGAUCAUUUGGAGAAGAUAGAAGUAGUAUAUGAAUAGGGUGUAGAGCCCAAGGUAGCAGCUCAAAUUAAGGUUGUGGGACUACCUCAAAUGUCUACUGAGAUUGUGCAGCAAGUGUUAGCUUUUGUGAAUUGGUUGGCAAGGACUAGAGCUACUCCCACGAUACCAUCUUACCAUGCUCAAGUUGUUUUCCUACUAUCACUAUGGCUCCUAGAAUGGAUGAAUCUUCAGGGACCAGUGCUUUUUCUCAUCUAGUUUUUGGUUUCAUGAUGACGGGUACAAAACAUAAACUAUUGAUAAAAUUUCUAAAGAUAAAACCUCCAAUAUUCUUGGGUAUUGAGUCGAUAAAUGUGUUUGAGUUCAUCAUUGAUUGCUAUGGGAGGUUACACAAGAUGGGUGAUGGGUAUUAUGAAGAAACAUAGAGUUGAGUUUGUGACCAUUCUAUUGGAGAGGUAUUCUAAGCAAUGAUGGAGGGCAUGUGUUGAAUAUUAGUCACUAGCUUUGCCUCCAUUGACUUAAGAGAAGUUUCAUGCUUUGUUCUUAGAAAAGUGUAUGUCAUGGGCCUUUCGUGACCACAAGAAAGAUAAAUUAUUGGCACUGGAAUAGGGAAACAUGUUAGUUGCAGGCUAUGAGGCUAAGUUUCAUGCUUUAUCUCUCUAUGCCACUCAGUUGUUAACCUUUGAAAAAGAAAGGAUUUGCCUCUACGUUAAAGUUUUGAACUAUGAUCUUUAGGUAUUGUUUGUGCAUAUGACUUUUGUAGGAUAGGGAUUCAAUGAAAUUUCAAACUAUGUAAAAAAGUUAAAAGGGGUUAAUCAAACGAGUAAGGAUAAAAAUUAUCUAAGAAGUCGCAAAUAUUGAAAAUUUCAGUGGGUCUUACUCUGAGGGCCACAAUCAUUCAACUUAUCCUAUUUAGUUAGCCUUGCUAGCUUCUAUUGUGGUUCCAUCUAAGGUUUGUUCUCAACAACAUACUGUUAGGAGAUAAGGGGCUUCUUACUCAUCUAUAAAUCGACCUUCUCUCAAGUGAGGGUAUUUAUAUUAUGGUAUUUUUGUCCAAUUUAAAGGGAAGUGUCCUGUGUGGUAGGCAAAUGCUCAAGUACAGCAGCAGACUUCGUCUAAAGUUCCAGCAGGUGGAUGAGAAAGAGGUAGCGACAGUGGUCAUCCACAAGGUGGGUAGGAAAAUCAGACAGGUGGCCAGGUUUGUCGCGAAAAUAGCAGCGCAGGAGGAGGAGCACAGCCAGGGAAGGAUUUAGCUCAAAUUAAUAAUUGGGCUCAUUAUUAUGCAUUUCCAAGAAAGGUUGAUGUCGAGGAUUCUAAUGCGGUGAUCAUAAGUUUUAUUUUUGUUUGUGAUAUAAUGGAUUUUAUUUUAUUUGAUUUGGUUUCUACUUAUUCUUAUGAAUCUGCUUAGUUUAUUGUGGGGCUAAAUUUGGUUUAUAAUGUCCUUGGUUAUCCUAUUUAUGUGUCUACUCUGGUUGAUGAAUCUAUGGUAGUAACCCAUGUUUACCAUUCUUGCCUUGUAUUAUAUAUGGAUUUUCAAACUUGGGUAGACUUGAUUAUUCUGGAUAUGUUGUACUUUGAUGUAAUUUUAGGUAUGACUUGGUUAGGUAUGACUUGGUUAUCUCUAUAUCACAUUGUUUUAAAUUUUAAUGCUAAGACAGUGACUCUAGUUAUGUCGGGAAUGUGUAAUCUAGGGUGGAAGGGAGAGUAUAAGGCCAAGCCGGUGAAGAUUAUAUCAUUUUUCUGGGCCAGAAGUUUGGUAGGAAAGGGAUGUCCAACAUUUUUAGCUCAUCUCCAGGAUGUAAGUGCGAGGUCUCAUUCUAUAGGGUCAGCUUUGGUAGUUUCCGAAUUUCAAGAUGAAUUCUCUUCAAACCUCCCCGAUAUAUCUUCAAAUAGAUAUAUUGAUUUUUGUAUUGACUUAGAGUUGGGUACACGCCUAUAUUUAUUCUUCCUUAUAAAAUAACUCCAGCAGAGUUGAGAGAUUUUAAGACUCAAUUAUAGGAGCUACUUAACAAGGGUUUUAUUUGUCCAAGUGCUUCACCUUGGGGUGCUCUGAUCAUUUUUGUUAAAAAAGAAAUAUGGUAGUUUAAGAAUGUACACUGAUUAUAGAUAGCUGAAUAAAGUUACUAUUAGAAAUAACUAUUAUUUUCCUCUCAUAGAUGAUUUGACCAGUUGUAGGGUGCAUUAGUGUUCUCAAAAAUUAAUUUACGAUCAGAUUAUCAUUUGUUGAAAAUUAGACCAAAGAAAGCUUUUAGAACUCAGAUGGUUUUAUGAAUUUCUGGUGAUGUUUUCGGGUUGGCUAAUGCACUUGCAGCCUUAAUGAGUUUGAUGAACGGGAUCUUUAAUUCGUUCUUGAAUUCUUUUAUUAUUGUCUUUAGUAAUGAUAUUCUUGUCUACUCCAAAAGUAAAAAAAAAAUAGCAUUUAGGCCAUAUUCGUACAGUCUUGGAGAUUCUAAGAGAGAAACGGUUAUUUGCUAAGUUUUCAAAGUGUGAAUUCUGGUUGUCUUUAGUUGCCUUCUUGGGGCACGUCGUUUCUGAAAAAAGGGUGAUGGAGGAUCCCCAGAAUAUUGAGGUAAUUAAUAAUUAGAUUUAGCCUAGUUCAAUGAUCGAGGUAAGGAGCUUUGUAGGUCUUGCUAGUUAUUGUCACAGAAUUGUUAAGAACUUUGCAUUCGUUGCAACACAAUUCACAAUGUCGAAUCAAAAAAAAAUGUUAUUUGUUUGGUCAUAUAAAUGUGAAGAGAUAUUCCAAAAUGUCAAGACACCCUUGACUAAGGCACCUAUCCUUUCAUUGUCAAUUGAAGGUACGGACUAGUAUUUUGCAAUGCUUCACUUUUGAGUUGGUUAUUGUGUUGAUGCAAGAUAAAAAUUUCAUAGCUUAUGGUUCGAGGUAAUUGAAACCUCACGAAAUGAUCAACCCAACAUAUGACUUAGUGUUGGUAGGAAUGGUAUUUGCAUUAAUGGUCUAGAGACACUAUCUUUAUGGUGUCAAGUGUAAGGUCUUCACUAAUCACCAUAGACUACUACACGUAUUCACUCAAAGGGAUCUGAAUCUAAGGCAACGAAGGUAGAUGGAAUUGUUGAAGGACUAGGAUGUAACUAUUCAGUAUCAUCCGGAUAAGGCUAACAUAGUGGCAUAUGCAUAGACUGGAAAAUAAGUAAGUAUGAGCAUUUUAUCAUCCUAGAGGAUAUCCAUCCUACCACUAGCUAGAGAGUUAAAAACUCUAGCAUCUUUGAGAAUAUAGUCUGGGGUCUCAAACAGGGUUAAUGUGUUGGCUAGUGUUGAGGAAAAGUCAACAUUAUCAAAUUAAGAACAAGCAAUUUGAAGAUGAGAAGUUGAAUAUAUUUAGAAGUAAAAUGGUGUAGAGAGGUGGUGAACGUCACUCUAGAAGUGAGUAGGGUGUUAUGGUUUAAGGAAAGAUUAUGUGGUCCUUGGGUCGGAGAUUUGAUUUGCAAUGUGCUUUCAGAGGCCUAUACUUUGCUUUAUUAUAUUUAUCCUGGUGCGAUCAAGAUGUACCGUGACUGGAGAUAACUUUAUUGAUGGCUCGAGAUAAAGAGGGAAAUAGUAGAUUAUGUGCCCAAGUGUUAGAACUAUCAGUUGGUAAAGUAUAAGACUAUCAGUUGGUAAAGUAUAAGCACUAACGUCCAGCGAGGUUACCUCAGAGGAUGCCUAUAUCUAUGUAGAAGUAGGAUCAUAUUGCUAUGAAUUUUGUGGUAGGUGUCGCGCCCCGUUUUCCUCGCAGAAAGCGAGAUUCGACGUGAUCACUCCUUUUGAGAUUGUUUGAAAGAUGAAUGUGAAAAGUCGCCACCUAACAAAUUAAGAAUAUAAUUGUUCAAAGAGUGAUUUAAAGUGCUAAGAAUAUCAUUUGUAAUGUGUCCACGAUUAUUAAACAUGCGAGAAUCAAUAUACAUGUUGUAUAUUAAGUUGUCAUUUCCAAAUGCGAUUUAACAAGGCGGAUAUUAAUUAAACUCCUAAAAACAUGAUUUCUAGGUGGAUCAACUAAUAAGUCGUAAAUUAGAUUUGCCUAGAUAAUAAAUUAACGAAUUCUAAGUUUGUUUGCCUAAAUGGUUCGCGUAGCACAUACAUACAUAAUUCUCUGCCCCCGAGCAGUCCCAUGAAUAUUAUUACAUCAUUACAUGAGUGUUCAUACAAUAUUACGGACCAAAAGGGGAGAAUUAAACUAAAGAAAAAGAAUAAUGUAGUCCCUCUCAACCCCGAGCGACUCUUCAAUUCCCAAACCUGUAACACAAUGAACCUGUAACACAAUGACAUAGCAUGGCAAGCACAAAGAAACGAACGAAACUAUUGCGGCAUAAUUUCAAACACACAAAAAAAAAUCAAACAAUGACAUAGCAAACAAAAGAGUUUGAUACAUAAAAAUGACCUUAAACUUGACACCUAAUUAUAACUUUGACCUUAAACUUUGAUAGUGCACAAAUAGGACCUUUAACUAUUCAAAAUCUGAACAAAUAUAACCUCCGAUUUUGCAACCCAUGCGUGAGUCUCACUCGCGCCUAUGUGGAAAGGUAAUCCAAUCACACGGUGCCACAUCGUUAAAAGGGCUGACUUGGAGAGAAAACAUAUUUAUGCAAUUUUGAAAAGUUAAAGGUCAUAUUUGUGCACUGUCAAAGUUUUGUUUUUUUGUAUUAAAACGUCAUCGUUGUCGUUGUUGUUAUUAUUAAUUAUUAUUUUAUUUAUUUAUUUCUAUAACAGCGGCACCUAACUUUUUUUAAUUAAAAAAAAAGCGAAAUCAAACCCGCACAGUAAGUUGAAGGAAGCGCCCAAGAAAAGCAAAUAACACAACUGCUAUCUAAGUGUCUUGUUUCAUGUGGUUCAACAUUAAUAUAUGUACAUAAAUAUACAUUUUCUAUCUUAUAUAUAUACAGCAUAAUUUUUUUACCGAGAGAGUUCGGAUGAACCCAUGGAGAUCCGCCCCUCGUUAAUUUAAUAACAUUUUAAUAACGUUAAUUUAAUAAUAUUUUAAUUACGUUAAUUUAAUAAUAUUUUAAUUAUGUUAAUUUGAUAAUAUUUUAAUUACGUUAAUUUGAUAACGUUAAUUUAAUAUAAUACUACUACUAACCUUAAUAACAUUAAUUUAAUGUUUUAUUAAAACUAUAAUUUUUUUAUUAUUAGUAUAGUUUCAUCUUUAAUUUAAUAUUUAAAUAAAUAAUAUUUAAAUAUAUUAUAUAACUUAAAUUCGUCAUCUGUUUUAUAAUAUAUAUAUACAUACCCUCUCAAUUUUUCACAUGAAGCUAACCCGCCUAAUUAAUAAAUCUUCAAUAUUGCUCUUUUUCCACAAUGACAAAAGAAAUUAAAUAUCAUUUUCAUCUUUGAGCCGAAAAUAAUGAAAAAAUAAUAGUGAAGUGCAUUUUUGAAUAGCUAAAGAUCACAUUUAUGCACUGUCAAAGUUAAGAUCAUAUUUAUGUAUUAUGUCCUUAGAUUUUAAGUUGAAUGCGCCCAAUUUUACAUGUUAAACACGCGUAUUGUCACGUAGGAUUAAAGGUCAUAUUUGUGCAGAUUUGAAUAAUUAAAGGUCAUAUUUGUGCACUGUCAAAAUUUAAGGUCAAAAUUAUAAUUUGGUGUCAAGUUUAGGUCAUUUUUAUGUAUUAACUCCAAAUAAAACAUCAAACAAUUUCCAUGAACAUGCUUUCUAGUCUCAUCACAUAAUAUAUUGAAUUGCAUCGAUAAGAAACUUACCAAUUGAAGAUUACCAAUAGUAAUAGGAAAAUGAAGCAGCACAAAGUUAAAGUAUGAACCGUUGCAGGUGAAGUCAAGACCAAUUCUCCAAUAUUAAAUGCAAAUUUAAAAUAUUUAAGUGAUUUUGUUAUCUAAAGAAUAUUUAAAGCUUUUUCGUGCAAUGUGUGUGAAGAGUUGAUAAAAAUGUAGAGUGUCUGUUACUAUAGUGUGAGAGCUUGUCCCUUUGAAAAAUAAGGGGUUCUUUAUAUAGCCAAGUAGUGUAAGAUUAUAAAAAUAGCAAAACAAUAUUCUCGUCAAUCAAUUAAGUGAAAAUUUCUCUUAAACGAAUAACUGAGACCAAUCACAUACACAACUGCUAUCUAAGUGUCUUGUUUCAUGUGGUUCAACAUUAAUAUAUGUACAUAAAUAUACAUUUUCUAUCUUAUAUAUAUACAGCAUAAUUUUUUUACCGAGAGGGUUCGGAUGAACCCAUGGAGAUCCGCCCCUCGUUAAUUUAAUAACAUUUUAAUAACGUUAAUUUAAUAACAUUUUAAUUACGUUAAUUUAAUAAUAUUUUAAUUACGUUAAUUUAAUAAUAUUUUAAUUACGUUAAUUUGAUAAUAUUUUAAUUACGUUAAUUUAAUAACGUUAAUUUAAUAUAAUACUACUACUAACCUUAAUAACAUUAAUUUAAUAUUUUAUUAAAACUAUAAUUUUUUUAUUAUUAAUAUAAUUUCAUCUUUAAUUUAAUAUUUAAAUAAAUAAUAUUUAAAUAUAUUAUAUAACUUAAAUUCGUCAUCUGUUUUAUAAUAUAUAUAUACAUACCCUCUCAAUUUUUCACAUGAAGCUAACCCGCCUAAUUAAUAAAUCUUCAAUAUUGCUCUUUUUCCACAAUGACAAAAGAAAUUAAAUAUCAUUUUCAUCUUUGAGCCGAAAAUAAUGAAAAAAUAAUAGUGAAGUGCAUUUUUGAAUAGCUAAAGAUCACAUUUAUGCACCGUCAAAGUUUAAGAUCAUAUUUAUGUAUUAUGUCCUUAAAUUUUAAGUUGAAUGCGCCCAGUUUUGCAUGUUGAACACGCGUAUUGUCACGUAGGAUUAAAGGUCAUAUUUGUGCAGAUUUGAAUAGUUAAAGGUCAUAUUUGUGCACUGUCAAAAUUUAAGGUCAAAAUUAUAAUUUGGUGUCAAGUUUAGGUCAUUUUUAUGUAUUAACUCCAAAUAAAACAUCAAACAAUUUCCAUGAACAUGCUUUCUAGUCUCAUCACAUAAUAUAUUGAAUUGCAUCGAUAAGAAACUUACCAAUUGAAGAUUACCAAUAGUAAUAGGAAAAUGAAGCAGCACAAAGUUAAAGUAUGAACCGUUGCAGGUGAAGUCAAGACCAAUUCUCCAAUAUUAAAUGCAAAUUUAAAAUAUUUAAGUGAUUUUGUUUUCUAAAGAAUAUUUAAAGCUUUUUCGUGCAAUGUGUGUGAAGAGUUGAUAAAAAUGUAGAGUCUGUUACUAUAGUGUGAGAGCUUGGUCCCUUUGAAAAAUAAGGGGUUCUUUAUAUAGCCAAGUAGUGUAAGAUUAUAAAAAUAGCAAAACAAUAUUCUUGUCAAUCAAUUAAGUGAAAAUUUCUCUUAAACGAAUAACUGAGACCAAUCACAUACAAAUCACAGUUCAGAGAAUAAAAAGGAAAACUAAUAUUUAGAAGUAUCAUCAACAAUAUUAUUUUCGUUAUUUAGCUAGACGAAAUCAAUUAGAAGCAAAUUUGCCAUAAAUAAGUAAAAAAAAUCAGUUCAACUUUUAAAGGAAACCAAGAAGUGGGUAAAGCAAAGCACCAAUCAACUAUAAUAUCAUUCAUUUAUUUUUUCCUCAAACAAAUAGACAAAAAGAUCUGUCAGCAAGUCAAUUUCAUAUAAUUUAAGCUAAUUAGUAUGGAGAAAAAAUCUAAUUUCUCAUAACUUUCCCAAAAUCUAGCAAACUAAUUUAAAUCAUAUUAUAAUUAGCUACCAAAACAACACACAUAAGAAUGACCACCACAAUUCAAAUACGGUGAGACGAAAGACAGACAAAUCAGAAUUGAGAACUUUGUAAUUAAAAGUAGAAUUAGGGUUCCAAAGCAACUUAGGAAACUUAAGCUCUGCGCGUAUGUCGACCUAAAGGUGUUUAAAACUAUGAAAUUGAAACAUGCAGACAAUCAAUUAUGUUCAAGACAUUUACGAAUUUCACGACUCAAAAUUUGUCUAAGAAAGGUGACAAAUAAGCACAGUUUUGCAAUCAUUACAUAUAGAGAUGAAUUUGAAAUAAAAUCAGCAAAAGAACCUUGAAAUUACAUAACUGUUGUUACUGACGUCUCCACCGGUCAUCAACUCCGGUGAAGACGGCGUUGGAGGUCAUCGCUGGUUCGGGCUUUUCCGUCGUCUGGCAGCAGCAAUGGAGGUUUCAAGGCAGCGAUGGCUAUUUUGACGGAAACGAGAGAGAAGACAGAGGUGGCCGGCUGGCGGCGGCUUCUUUGACUGGUGGCUGGUUAGGAGAUCGUCGGUGGAAGGCGGAGUUGGAGUGGGAAGACGCUGGUGGUUUUUGGCUGUUCUAGCGGGAGGUUCACCAGUGACGGAGGGAGAUCAAGGGGAGAGAGGUGACGGGUGGAGGCUGUCCGUUGUUGUGGUGAUUUAUCGGAGAGGGAGGGACAGUGGAGACCGGAGCGGCGCUGGCGCUAAAUCACCGGUUGGUGUUGACGGCGGAGGGUGGCUUUGCAUGGUUGGUUUGGCGGACUGGUCGCGGAGAUGGCGGGGUGAGGCACAGAGGUUGGCGACGGCGGCGCUGGCUCAAGAUUUUCCGGAGGAGGAGGACGAGAGGGGGAAUAGGGUGAGGGAAGGCUCGCCGGCCCUGGGAUGGCCGGCGGCAGCCAUAGACGCCGAUGGAGAGGAGAGGAGAGGAGAGGAGUAGAGAGCGAAGAGACGUAGAGAGAGAGAGUUAGAGAGAGGAAGGAGGCGCAUGUUUUUAUUUUGGAAACUUCGGUUAGGGUUUGGAUUUUCCAUUAAAAGGAAAGGGAGAGAAUGC
This 53058-nucleotide long non-coding RNA is filed under the name Capsicum annuum. RNAcentral describes it as "long non-coding RNA (CANN_LNC012524)". The record is from RNAcentral. Lineage: Eukaryota; Viridiplantae; Streptophyta; Magnoliopsida; Solanales; Solanaceae.